Molecule: long non-coding RNA, 72216 nt
Filed under: Medicago truncatula (barrel medic)
Lineage: Eukaryota; Viridiplantae; Streptophyta; Magnoliopsida; Fabales; Fabaceae
Description: long non-coding RNA (MTRU_LNC003376)
Source: RNAcentral
ACUAUUUGCACCUCUCGAAUUUGUUACUAUUAUUUAUGUAACUACACUGUCUUGCUAUUUACACUCCCCUCUACUUAAAUCAUUAAAGCACUACUCAUCUCACUUACUACACCUCUUUUCUACCCAAUCCCCGUUUGCACUCUAAUUUCUUAUUCUCUCUAAAAAAAAACUCUAUUUUCUUUCUAAAUGUUAUUUUAUCUCACUCUUUUUUUUUAAUUAAACUACUACCACUAAUUAAAGCUCUAGUUUACAUAUGCUACCCUUAUUAAUCCAAUGUCUCUAUCCCAAUUCACUAAACAACCUCACUCAAACAUGUUAAAACGGAUUUAAUUCAAAUAAAAAUAAUAAAAAAAUAAUAAUGCCAAACAAUCAACACUACUACUAAUAAUAAUAAUACUAAUAUUAUCUAAGUAUAUUAAUAAAAUAAUAUUAAAAAUUGGGGUGUUACACCCACAACCUCCGCCGCCACUUCCAAGUGUCAUCCCCUACCUCCCACUCCCUAACAAACAUUUCCGCCACCGUACACAAUUUAUCAUCACAUAAAUCAUAUAACCUACGAAAACAAUCAUUAAGGGGAACCUCACGAACCCACCUAUCUAACGAAAAUAAUGUGUUAGCACCAUUACCUACAUGAAGUCGUAAGUUAUCUGGAAACCAGUUACCAAACACACCUCCACCAUCCCUGAUGCCAACAGUAUCCUUCAACCACACCGAUCCAUCACUUCCCCCAUCUAACAACCGCCCCCUCUCUUGGUUGUAACGGGCGGCCAAAAUUCUAAACCAAAGCCCUUCUCUGUCCACCAGCAUCCUCCAACACCAUUUCUCCAACAAAACUAAAUUAAACUCUCUAAUACUUCUUACCCCCAAACCACCAACCUCCCUGUCCACGCAAAUGGACACCCAAUCAAUCCAAGAUAUUUUUCUAUUUUCCUCACUCCCGCCCAAAAAAAAAAAAAACGAAGUAAAAGAGGAGCAAUAGAAGCAAUAAUACCUGAGGGAGCUUUGAAGAAGGAAAGAGCGUAAACGGGAAGCGAAGUCAAAAUAAACUUAAGGAGAACAAGACGAUCAACAAAAGAAAGAUGUUUGCUUUUCCAAUUAAACAGACAGGGACUUAAAAUCUUAAAAUCAAAUUUCUUCUUUGAGUUUUUUAAUAAAUGAGACACUUGUUACCUUAUGAGCAUUUCCCUUACUUUAUUACAAUAAAUACUUACUAAUAAUAGAAACCUUAACAUGAUCACACAAAUUAUUUAAUUAUCUGAAAAAUAAUUAUUUAAUUCAGAUAAAUCUUAAUAUGAUCCAUGUGUUAUUUAAUUAUUUAGAAAAUGCAAAUUAUUGAAAAAAUUCUCUUUAUAUUAAUUUUUAUUUUUGUGAGUAUUAAUAUUUUGUGCUUAAAAUCUUGUGACCAACCACCAAGAUUUGUGACAGUAUGAUAUGAAAACUUUUUAUGAGUUUUCUUACUCUCUUGGUGCGUGUAUAAAUUAUCCAUAGAGUAGUGAUAUUUAAACAAUCUUUUGAGAUAACUUUUGGUACAAUUUCUUUUUUCUCAUUUUUUACUGGUCAAAAACAAUGGAGAGAGAAAAAGGAAGAGAGAGAAUAAAAAUAUAAUGUGAGUAUGAGAGAGAAAGUUGUCAAGAAGUUGUCACAAAAUGGAUGUACAAAUAUCAUUUCUCUUAUCCAUAAAUGUAUGUCUGAGCUUCCAUGAAGUGUUUCAGAUCUAUAGGUAAUGAAACACCUGCGCACAAGCUAACCAUCCUCAAUCCAUUUUCGUCUAAACACGUGCACCCAUUGAACUCUCUAUGACUAACUUAAAUAAUUUGGGUCCUACAAUAUCUUCCACCACAGAUCAACGUGAAUAAAAAAAAAAUGAAGUUUUGUAAAAAAGAUGAAGUUACAUGUACUUCCUCCGUUUUAAAAUGAGUGUUGUUUUAGCAACAAAAAAAAUUGUUUUAAAAUGAAUGUCACUUUCAAUUUUCAAUGCAAUAAUAACUUUUUCUUUUCAAUUGUACCCUUCAAUUAAUACUAUGUUAUACUACUUCUAGAGUAUUAUUUUUCUUUAAUGAAAAACAAACCAAUAGUUGAUUAAGAGAAUUUGGUAAAAUUGCUAUGACAUUUGACAACUUUAUUUCAUUCCUUAAUAUGUGUGCAAUUGGCUAAAGCGACACUCAUUUUAAAACGGAGGGAGUAUUAAUUAAGGGUAUACAUACUAAAUGCUUAAAUUACUAAUUGACAGCUCGCAAAUCUCCGCCUCCACGCGCGUUCAGCUGCAGCAGCAGCUUCAUCACUCGUGGGGCUUCGAAGUCUACGAAAGCUAGUACGUCAGCUGCUAUUCUGGUUGUGUGCCAGAAACCGAACCUAGCAUGUUAUAAAUGCAAUGUUGAUACGGCGUUUUCGUCCACUUUUAACCGUAAGAGGAUUGGCAUAUGCAUUCGUGAUGAGGAAGGUGUCUUCGUCUUAGCUAAGAUGGUAAGUUUUUCUUGUUUACAUUGAAGUCAUGGGUUUAUUUGAAGCCCUCCAGUGGCUUAGCGACAUGUCUUUCAAUAACGUCGAUUUUGAGUUAGAUUCAAAAGUUACAUGUGAUGCCUUCCAUUCCUGUCGAGAUGAUAUUUUUGAGUCUGGGCACGUCAUCGCAUCUUGUAAAGCUCUUAUUUCCUCCUUCUCUAUAAACUUCAGGGUAGAGUUUACUAGACAACAAACAAAUACAGUCGCUCAUCCGUUUGCAGGAGAGACUACAUUUCUAACUAGUCCCGUCAUUUAUUAACAUAUCUCAUCUUUUAUUGAAACUAUUAUUAUUAAAGAAAUGCAAUGAACAUGUUUUCUUCACACACAAAUUAUUUUUACUAAAUGAUUGAAUUAAGUGGUCAAUAAAACCCUAACAUGAAUCAUUUAAAAAAUCAGAAUUUGAUUUUUUAUGAGAACAAUUCUUAAUUAAAAUCACUUACCGUUUAACCAAACUACAAAUUACUAUGAAACCCUUUCAUGUGAAAUAUGAACUAAAUAGUUAAGAACAAAAAGAGUUAAGUGUGUAUUCUUUCAAAAAAAAAAAAAAAGAGUUAAGAGUAUUUGGUUAAAUACAAACAUGUAAUCACAUUUGAUUGCCCAGAUAUUCAAUUAUGUUGAUAUUUUAGAAAAUACUAUUAUUAAACGUUUAAAUGAUAAGAUGUGAUUUGGAUGAGUGUGAAGUGGAGUCCGGUCUUUGUUAGGAUAGACAGAGGUUUGUCAAUGUCAUUUGAGAACUUUCGUGUAAAUAGACACUUUUUCUUUCGAAAUUGUAAGUUUCAUCAAUUACAAUUGACAUUAACAAAACUUCAUUUAUCCCUUGAAAUUACACAACGUUAAUCAAUUUACCCCCUCCAUCAAAUUCUUCUGUUAGUCAACAUGACGUUUUGCAAAUGCUUCCCUGAAGUUUCACACUUAUGUGCAAAAUGCCCCUUGAAUUUGACGGAGAGGGUAAAUUGAUUAACGUUGUGCAAUUUUAGAGAGGUAAUUGAAGUUUUGUUAAUGUCUACAGAUAAUUGACGAAACUUACAAUUUCGAAGGGUAAUUGACUAUUUACUCUUACUUAUUUUUAUUUUUAAGAGGACAACAUGAGGGUAGCACUUGUGUGACAUAGAGUUGGGUGACAUUGACCAAUCACAAUGUUACAUUGCUUGUGUUUCUCUCUUUUUCACAAGUAUUGUGACAUUGUGAUUUGACCAAUGUCACCAAUAUCACCCAACUCUAAGUCACACAAGUGUUAUCCCGACAACAUGGUUACUUGUAUCUUUUCUCUAUAGAAAGGAAAAUAGAACUGACCAGCACCUCUAGGUGAACAAUCUCCUAUCGAGGGACCAAAGCAUCAAGCAAAUAAGAAAAAUUGUCUUUGCCAUCCUUAUUUAUUACCCAACCGUUCAAGAUAGGGUGUCUUAACUUCAAAAUUUAUGAAGGAAAGGUUUGUAGGCAAUUUCGUGCUGGCCAAUCAAAGCAAGUCAGAAUUUGUCUUCAUAAAAAUCUUAAAGGCUUCAUAAGUGAGAAAUCUCACUUGUCUGAAUCGGUUGAAUCAUCAUUAAGUAUUGGGUCAUACUCCCCUGCCUCUUUUGUAAAUGUUGUCGGCAAUUUUUAAGAAAGUAAUCCCUCUGUCUAGGAUUGACUGUCCAAUUUGAGUUGCACGUGGUUCUUAAAGAAAUACAUAGUUACGUUAAAUAGAGUGAAAUUCAAUAAAUAAAAGUAUAUUAGUGAAAUAAUAAUAAUAAUAAUAAUAAAUAUUUUAUGUGUAUUCUAAAAUGACAAUUAUUUUAAUAUAUGUGGAGUUCGACUAAAAAGUUUGGGAUGACCGUCAUCAAAAUAUAACUUCUUCAUCUUUGUGAAUAUCAUCUGUCUUCCUCUUAAAAAACGAAUCAAUUUUUUGACUUUUCAUUUUAACUUUUAAGUUGCAAAGAAACAAAUAUAUCAAAAUGGUAUAUAAUUGUAACUAACGAACGGAGAGAAAGGAGACAACAAAGAGAAGAUGAGCAACAUAAGAGGGGUGACAGAGAGAUGGAGGGCGUCAUACUAACGGUCGACGACGUGAUGGAGUCGGCAGUGAGAAAGAGUGAGCAUCAGCGUUUCAUGAAAAGUGAGGAUGGCAACAUUUUAAAUUUCAUAUUAACUUUAGGGUAUUAUGGUAGUUUCUAGCCUACACCAAAAUUUUAUUUAAUUUUUAAUCAAGAUGUCAUGAUCUUCCUCAGAUCCCAUGUGUUUCCGCCACUGUUUUGAAACAAAGAAAAUUAUGCAAUAGUGACAAUUAUUAUAUAAAGGGGGACUUAGCUAUGUUAAUUUUAAGGUGUUAACAAGUGCUCCCAGGGCGCUUUUUAAGCAUUCUAAAAUAAGAAAUUAUUUUUUAAAAAAGUCAAAUAUUUCGAUUUCCAAUGUAUUGAUUACACAUUUUUUUUUUAUAAAUACUUAUUAUAUAUGAUCCUUAAAGAGAACUCUGGGAACCUCGUUAACAUUUACCAUAAAUCAAUUAAUGAUUAUAACCCUUUGCAACCAAUGUAGCUUUAAAUCACUCAAUAGAACCAUCAUCAUGAUGCUUGAUCUUGUAAAUCCAUCUACAACUAAUAGACUUCACAUUUGGUGGUAACUCAACAAGUUUCCAAAUUUCCGUUUUUUCAAGAGCACUAAGCUCAAAUUCCAUUACUUGAUUCCAACAAUCAAAUUUACUUGCCUCAAUAUAAGUUUUAGGGUUAGUGUUGGUGGAAAUAUACAAAAAAAAAAAAUCACAAUGAGGGUUAGAAAAAUUAUGAAAAUACAUGUAUUUGGAUAUAGGAUACAAAGAUGAAUGAUGUGUAUGCUUGCAAGUAUGAUGGUGCAUUCUUAACUCUGGAAGAAUUUCUGCUGAGGAGUUGGUUAGAAAUGGAAUUAGAUGGUGCAUGAGAUGAUGGAAUAAAUAGAUUGUUAGUAGGGAAAGGAGAAGGAGAUGGAUCAUAUAUAAUAGCAAGUUGAAAUAUUGGUGAAGGAGAAGUUUGAUAAGAAACCAAACCCUAAUGGACAAAGAAGACUUUGGAUAUAUUCUUAAAAUAUAAGAUUUUUGGAAAUGAAUAUUUCUCUUGUGUAAAACUAAGAGAACAAAGCCUUUGACUCCUGACUUGUAUCAUAAGAAAACAAAUUUUUUGGCUCUAGGAUCUAAUUUGGUUUCAUGACUUUGUAAAGUAUAAGCAUAAGAGAGAGAACAAAAAACUUUGAAAACUGAUUUUUCAGGUAUAUUAUCAUGGAGUAACUAAAAAGGAUACUUAUUUUGUAAAAGAGGUGCGGUGAUUCUAUUGCUGAGAAAAACUGCAUGUAAAACAACAUAUGACCAAAAAGGCAUAGAUAACUUAGAUUGAAUAGGUAAAAUUCUCCCAACAUUAAGAAUAUGUUGAUGUUUUCUUUCAACUUUCCGAUUUUGUUGGAGAGUCUCAACACAAUACUCCUCGUUAGAUAUACCCUUAGAAGCAUAUAAAGAGGAUAGAAGAAACUCUGGGCCAUUAUUAGUUUUUAUAAACUUAAGGGGGAUGUUGUAUUGGUUUUUAAUCAUGGUUAUGAAAUUUUGAAAAUGCAGUGAUACUUCACAUUUAGUUUUGAGUAAUAUAAUCCACACAACCCCACUAAAAUCAUCAAUGAUGGUUAAGAAGUAUUUAUGACUAUGAAUGUAACGCCCACUUUCGUUUAAUUAUUUAUUUAAUCGAGUUUAGGCGAUUAUAUUAUAUUUUUAUAAUAUAUGUGUGAGUUUUGUUGAUUUAAGAUGAUUUAAGUUGUUUUGGAUGUGUUUUGAUGAUUUGUUAAGAUUAUGAGACUUAUUUUAUUGUUAAAUAAAAUAAGAUUUGAUAAGAAAAUAAAAAUAUAAAAAAAAAAUUAGUUGAGGGCUGUUUUGAGAUUUUAGAGAGUUUUAGGGGAGAUAGUGAGAUAAGAUAAGAUAUUAGGAAGAGGUAUAUAAGAGAUAGACCUAGUUUUAGAAAAACAUUGUACGUACGACUGUUUUUGGAGAAAAGGGAGAAAAAGCCAGAGAAGAGAGAAUCACCUAGGAGUGCUGCGAUUUUCUUCAUACAAGGUAAGGGUGAGACUAUUAAUUCAGUAUUUUUAAUUGAUAUAAUUCUGAUGAAUAAUUGACAAAGUUAGGAUUGAUUUAGAAAAGUUUUGAAAUUAGGUCAAAUCCCUAAAAUUGAUGAUCAAACGGUAAAAGUUGUUUAGAUUGAUGUAGAAACCGUCCUAUAACCUUAGAAUAUGUUUAGGAUGAAUUCUGGAAUUGAAAUUAGGCUUAGAACCUUGUUAGUUGAUGAAAUUUGUGUAGAAACUGCAUUCUGUCCGAGCCAAAAUUCAUCGCUCGCCAUAGCGAGCCAUGAUCCUCGCCUCGCGAGUGAUGAAUGUUCAUCGCUCGCCACGCGAGCCAUUCCCUUCGCCUCGCGAGUUACAAGUCGUAGCUUGCCACAUCGAGCAACCCUACUCGCCAUAGCGAGCUUGACCAGAGAGCAUGUCAUUUUCUGAGUUUUUGACUUUUGAGUUGAACCUUAGAUGCCUUUGAGUACCUUUAGGUGCCUACUAUUGAUUAGGGAAUGAUUUAGAACGAGAUUGAACCUGGAACAACCUUAGUUGGGAUUCUGGCUUGUACUCGCCAUGGCGAGCAGAUGCUCUCGCCUCGCGAGCACUUCCAGAACUGAGUGCUUUUGAGGAUUGUGAGACCUGAGCUGUUUGGAUUGGUUAGGAAAGGAACUCUAGGUGCUAGUGAGACCUAUUAGAGAUAUUGACUGAGAACUGUGAAGCCUUUAUGAUAUAUUAAGUGAUUAUGAAGUGAAUUAUGGAUUGAUUGCCCUUACUUGAAUUAUUGUUGAUUGAUCAAGAAUUGUUGAGAAUGAUUUGUUAUUAAGCUUGACGUGAUUUGAUUAUGCUGCAAUUGUUAUUAAACUAUGUUGCAUGAGUCUGAAAUAAGUUGAUGAUGAACUCCAAAUUAUUGGAUGUAUAAGUGAUAAGUUGAUUAAGAUGUUUUGUUGUUUAAGUCCAUGCAUUAGCAUUCAUUGAGCUUUGUCCUCACCAUGUUCGGAGCUUUAUCCUCCACACGAUAGGAGCUUUGUCCUCCACACGAUUAAAGUAUAUUAAUACUAUGAUGACGAUUGGUACUACAUGCAUAUAAGUGUCUAAGUUGCAUUGUCGCAUUUGUCGAGUUUAAAGAUGUUUAAGUUGUUGAUGAUGAAUGAAGUUGUGAUUAUGUCAUAAAUAAUUAUCAAAGAUGCAAUGUUGAUUAAGACUGAUUAUGAUGUUAAUUACGAUUUCCUAUUAUAUUGAUUAAUAAUAUUGUAUUAUGAAAUCUCACCCCUUCUACAUGAAAAUGUUGCUCUAUGUAUGAGUAAUUUGCAGGUGAUCGUGCUUAAGUGUGCAGUUUGCUGUUGUGAGUGGCCUUGCCUCACUGAGUCGUCUAGGUCGCUCUGAUACGUAACGGGAUGAGGUUAUAUGUCAUGCAUGCUUCAUUCUUUUACGUGAACUAUUACGUUAUGUUAUGAUAUUGAUUAACUGUUGAGAUAUUUUGAUGGGGCCUAUGUGCCAAAACGAUUUAUGGAUUUCGAAAUAAUUUUCCGCUGCAUUGUUUAAGUAUUUGGUUAAAUUGUUAUUUAACUGAUAUUGGAUUAUGUUAAAUGUGAUAUCCCGUUUGUUUAUGUUGUUUACUCUGAUAAAUGUUUAAGAAAUUUUUAUAUUGGGAAAACGGGGUGUUACAAUGAACAACAUAGGAAUGAUUUGAUUUGGUCAUAGGAGAAGUAGUGACCCAGUUAGAAAUGGAAGUAGCAAGUGGAAAAGAUGAAGUAAGUUUGCUUGUUGGAACACGGAUAAGAUCUUAUCAAACUUCUCUUGGGAAAAACUGGUAUUUGGAGUUGUUGAUACCACGUCACCAUCACCAAUGCGAUACUUUAUGUUGUUUUUAGAUUUCCAAACUAUUGUAUUUGGAGUUCCAAAUUCUAUUAUCUACCGAAGUUGUUACUAGGUUGAGUCACGACCAGGUCGCUCUCUUUAAGACGUUUCGUGGCACUGCCCAAAAUUGUGCAAGGCAGACUAUCAACCACGCCGCCUCCAGGAUAAAACAAGUCCAGCUGCAACUGUUCGAUUAACUACUGCACUCUAGAAAAUCGUUCGAGAAUUACACCUCCAAAUAUGGUACUAAGACCACUCUUUAAUACUGAAACCACUUUAAUAUGGUAUUGUUAUCACUCUGUUAUGGUGCUGAGACCACUCAAAUAUGGUGUUAACACCAUUCUAACUUUAAGUUCUACAAACUACCAAAAUGGUACCACAACCACUCAAAUAUGGUGAUACCACCAUUUCUCCUCAAAUAGAAAAAUAUUGAAAUACUUUUUAUAUAUACCGUUAAGAUCAUUCUUAAUUCCGACGGGACAUUGUUAUUCCAAAUAGGGACUAUGAUCUUAAAAGUACUCUUUAUUCUGAAGGGACAUAUAUUAUCAAAGGGACUAUGUUUUAAGACCAUUCUUAAUUCCGAAGGGACAUUAAACCGAAAAGGGACUAUGGUCUUAAGAACACUCUUAAUUCCGAAGGGACAGAAAGAAGUAGAAAAAGGAGAAGAACUUGUCAACACAACACAAGUCGAAGGAGGGAGAAGAGAGGAAAAACACAGGAAGCAUCAACUGUGAAUUUCGGUGUGUUUUUGAACUAAGUGGAGUCCUCUAUUUAUAUAGAGAUUCUGUAACUGUUUUAGCAAAAAUUGCGACAACAGUUACUCUAAUGGAUAAGAUUAAAAUGGAGUUUAUCCAUUAAUCAGUUCAACAACACUUGUGGAUAGGAUCAAAAGAAACAAAUCCACAAAAGUGGAGGAAACAAACUAUUGGAUUUGAAUGAAGGAAAUAUAAUAAUAAUUAAAUUAUUAUUCUUAUCACAACCACCAUAAGCUAAAUUUAUGGAAAGUGAUAUUCUCGAAUAAAAUAAUAAUUACUAUUAUUUUUAUCAUUAUCAAGUAUUUAAAAUUAAAUACCACAAUUUAAACACUACUAAUGUGUGUGUUCUAUUUUAUGUGGGACCCCCACACUCUAUUUUUUCAAUUCACACAACAUUAGAUCAAAGUAUAAUUAUUUGGUGUUUAAUCUUCCAAUUUUUCAUCCAACAUCACAUCAAUGUUCCAACAAUCCCCCACUUGAAUUUAAAAAAUGGUUUCAAUAAUAACGGUAAAACGUUUCUAUAAGGUUGCUAAUAAACAAAGGUGUCGCCUACAACUUGCACCUUUGCAUAGCGGAUAAUAUUCCGAUUUAACAAGAAUUGUUUACAACAUUGAACUCUAUCUCAGACAUAGAACCCACACACAAAUCUUUUCCUAAGGUGUAUUCUAAAAGCUCGUGCGUUUUAUUGUCAUGCACGUCUAUCCUGGUUUUAACGAACGUUCUAGGUAUUCUGCCCCGAAUAUCAUAGGAAUCGGCCUAAGUUCCACAUUCGUAUAGGUGAGUAUAUCAAGAGUACUCCUGUAGCUAGGUACUCCACUCCACAUAGAGUAUAGUCUCAUUAAGAGUUUCUAUUAUCUCAUCCUUCUGCCACUGCAGGAAUCAUGCUUUCUUACUUUUCUCAUAGCAUGUUCUAUCACUCAUGACUUGUUAUUACCCAUUGAACCUAUUUCUUGGGAUCUCCAAUCAUGUAGGUCGGGUUACCAUCACUUGUGACCUUUGGGCAUUAGUCUCAUCCUAUUGGAUGUGUUUAAGACUUUCUUUCUAGUAAUUCCUUUCGUCAAAGGAUUGACUAAUUCUUUAUCAGUACGUGCACGAUAUACUUUAACCGUUCCUUUUAGAGCUCUCUAAUCAUUCUGUGUUCGUGCCUUAAUUAUCGUCUCUCACCAUUGUGGUAACGAUUCUCAAUUUUGUAAUAGCUGCAGACUAUCACAAUAAAUUAACACUUCGGACAACGGUUUCACCCACUGAGGGUUCUUAGCUAGCAAGCAUCUUAUCAACUUGCUUCUUCACUAGUUUUCUCUAGUGUUCUCAUCUCAGAUUCAUUCCAUAAUAUCAUUUGUUUCAACAAAUAACUCCUCCAGUGAUGCUCAAUGGGCAGUCACUGGUCGCUUUGAGACUCAUCUGAAGGAUGUUCAAUUUUUUUAUCUUGUACCACUCAUGUACAAUAUGAUACUUCUCAUUUGUAUCUUGUACCAUUCAAGUACAAUAGGAUACUUCUCAUAAUGUAAUCCUAGAGUCAUAAUCUUCUUAAUGCACCUCAUGACUCUUUCAAUAGCAUGACAAUGCUUCUCAUCUGUCUACUAGUAAACUUGAACAAAAGUCUUACGACGUGGCCAACGUCGAGUCUAAUACAUUCAAUGGCAUAUCUAAAGAUUGCCAAUGAUGCUCAUACUUAAGUGUUCUUGAAAAGUUUUACACUUGCAAGUUUACAGUCAAAGAAUUACAUUUCCUUAAGAUAUUCUCAACUUUGUGAGAUUCAUCAGAAAAGUUCUCAUUUCUAAUCUAGUAAUCUUAAAACCAAGAAUUACAUCAACUUUGUCUAGGUCUUUCUUAUCAAUGUUAUUGAUAAACAAUGAUUUCAUAUAAUUCAUAACAUGAAUCUUUAAACCAAAUAUGAGCAAGUCGUCUUCAUAGAGACAUAUGAUCGUGCAAAUAUUAUUUGUCACUUUCAUUCACUUUAUACUCAUUCGAUAGCAUUAGAAUGUCGAAAUUUUCAUGUCAUUCCUUAAGAGUUUAUUUUAGACCUCACAAAGAAUUAUCUAACUUACAGAACUUGUUUUCUAGUCCAUGAAUCACAAAACCUUCAGGUUGUUUGAUAUAGACUUCUUCUUCUAUUUCACCAUAAAGAAGGCAACUUUCACAUCCAUUUGGAGUACUAUCGAGUUAUGAACAGCGGCUAAAGGGACUAGUACUCUUAUGGAUAUGAUUCUAGUGACUGGUGAAUAAGUGUCGAAGAAGACUAUAUUUUUCUCUGUCUAAAAUCUUUGACUACAAGGAGAGCCUUGUAUUCAUCAACCGUACCAUCAGGUUUUAGUUCUUUUUCCUAAAAUCCAAAUACAACCGAUUAGUUUACAACUAUGAGGCAAGUCAACAAAGUGUCAUGUUUUGUUAGACUAUAGAGAAUCCAUUUCAUCGUUUAUUGCUUCUUGCCAUAAUUCAGCAUCCAAUGAGAAUAUAGCUUCUUUAAGGCUUAAUGGAUAUUCUUCCAAUGUAUAAACCAUAAGAUUCAUACUCUUUAACAAUGCUUGUUUUCUUACCUCUUCGAGGUUCUAUAACAUCUGGUACGAUGUUUUCAUAACUAUUUCUGAUUACAUGAAUGUGAUCAGAUAUAGUGCCCCCACUAGUUCUUAAUUUUUAGAAGGGAAUUUAUUUUGCCCCCGAUAAUGUUGUGCUCCCACUAGUGCCCCCACUAUUCUUUAGUUUAAAGGGGUAAAUAUUUACAUAGAAAUCGGUGUCUUUUAAUUCUAUGAUCACUUUAACAUUUAGGUCAUAAAACCUAUAUGUUUCGCUAUUUAUAGCAUACCCAAUGAAUAUACAUUCAUAGGCUCUACUAGUGAGUUCAACUCUCUUGGGGUCCAGAAUCUAAAUAUAGUCCAGACAAUCCCAAGUUCAAAAAAUAAGACAAGUUGGGUUGUCUUUUCUUCAAAAAUUUCUUAAUUAGAAUUUUUGUUCUUAGACUUGGGUACUCUAUAAAUUUCAAUUUUCGUUAUAAAAAUUGAACAUAUCAAGCAUAUCAAUUUUAUUUUCCAAAAUUCACAGUCAUCAAUAAAUAUGAUAAAAUAUCAUUUUAUCAUUUCUAGUGUAUGUGCCAUCAAAUUCACACAUAUCAUAAUCUAUUAUAUUUUGAGAUUCAUAUUCUCUAAAUUCUGAUUUAUAUGAAAUUUUGGUUCAUAUAUCUUGACUGCAAUAAAUAAAAUUGUAUAAUCAUAUAACAUUGGAAUUAAGUCCAACUUACUCAAGUCUAAAAUUAAAUGCUUGUUCACAUGUCAAAUAUUAAAAUCACACAACUAAUAAAAUAGAAGGAGAAAUUAACUUUGAACAUACCAUCAAAGGCGUAAUCUUUUUCCACAAGAAUGCACGAUACACAAGUCUCUUUUUAAGUCUGAGUCAACUCAGUCUUAUUCAAUAGAAAUCUGAAAUUCAGAAUCUUUCUUAUUUGCAUACGUAACAUUUGGAACAAAUUUCUUAUAUAAUUUCUAGUGCAUCAAAAACCUUUUCGAUCUGAUCCAUUCAUUGAGUUUUCAAUGUUCAUAUUUUGUGCAUAUAACAGGGACCAUAUAGAUGGUAAAUUAUCCUCCUGAAAUUCCAAUAUAACCUCCUAGUAUAUGUUGCGUAAAAAACAUAAAAACCUCCUAGAAUGUUUGAGUGUGUAAGGGAUAAUGCACAAUUUGUGCAGGGGCUGAGUUUCGAAUCCAGACACCCCACUUAUUCAUCUUAAAAGGUGAAUUUCUCUAGCCACUAGACUACUUGAUAAAAAAAAAUUGAAAAAAAAAAACUAUAAUAUCCAAAUAUCACCAAUUAUAAUAAAAUCACUUUUUAAACAAAAAUAGUUUCUCAAAAAAAUAAAACAAAAAAUUUCACUCAUACACACAUCACUAAAACAAAUUAAUUUUACAAGAUAAAUUCAUCAAGUACUAAAUCAAAUGUUCACUUCACUUGAGGAGAACAUCAUGAAUGAGGUUCUCAAGAUUCAUAAAUGAUGAUCCAUGAGGACCAGAAGCAGCAUUGUGUGCCAAUUUCUUCCAUUGCAAAGCUUUUUCUUUCAUCUCUUUACCCUUUUCUCCUUCCAUUAACUCCUUCACAAGAAUCUCUAUUUUGUCCCUCUUAGCAUCUUCAAUCUCCAAACCAAUCCCCCAUUCAUUACAACAAAAUCUACAAUUAGUUUGUUGUUCAGCAAAAAAAGGCCAACAUAUCAUUGGAACACCACCACAAACACUUUCCAACGUUGAAUUCCAACCAUUAUGUGUCAAAAACCCUCCAAUUGAUGAAUGUCCCAAAACUUCCUCUUGUGGACACCAACUUGAUAAUAAACCUCUAUUUUUGGUCUCUUCCAAAAACUCUAGAGGCAAAACAGCAUUUUCACCAGCUACAAGAUCUGGCCUUAUGACCCACAAAAAGGGCAUUUUACUAUUACUUAGUCCCCAAGCAAACUCAAUCAUUUGUUCACUUGUCAUAACAGUGAUACUUCCAAAAUUGACAUAAACAACACUAUUGGGUUCUUUACUAUUUAGCCAUUCCAAACACUCUGGCUCUUCCUUCCAUAGGUUGGACCCAAUUGAAUCCAAUUCCUUAUUUGUCACAUCUUUUAUGAGUAAAUGCAAGGGACCAAUGGAAUAAACAGGAGGUAAAAUGGAAGAGAAUGCUUCCAAAACAUCGUGUUCCAAAUUGUCAAAUGUGUUGAAAAUUAUUGCAGAUGCUUUUUGAGCUCUUUGGCAUUCCCCUCGUAAAAAAUCAAGCAUGAUAUCAUUAGGGUUUGUGGUUCUGAUGAAGCUUGGGAUAUCCUUUAAUCGGAUUUCUUUUAUGCCUGGCACCCAAUCUAUGGUAGUCUCCAAAUACCCAUUUGUUAUAUAACUGGAGUCUGCAUGUCAAACACAUAAUUUACUUCAUUAACAAUAAAAAUUAUUAAAAAACAAGAACUUCAAAAUUACAUUUUGAUCUAAUGGCUGUGCAAAAGCAACUUUAACAAUCACCACAUACAAAAAGUUAGAGAGUAUAAUAAACUUUUCUUUUUAUUAAAAUAUUGAGUUAAAUAUGUUUUUGGUCUCUAAAUAUGUCUCUCUAAUUUUUUUUUUUCAACUUUUAGUUCCUCAAAAAAAUUUCAUCUUCAUUUUUGGUCCUCUUUUAAAGUAAACUCAUAUGUAGAAUUCUUAUUUUUGAAUAAAAUUUUGCAGAAAAAUUCAUAAUAUUAUAAGAAUCACUUCAAAAAAAUUAGAAUUUUUUUUAUCAAAGGAUGAAUUUAAUAUAAAUUUUUAUAUUUUUUACGUUUAAAAUUUUUAUUUAAUUUGUGUUUUGUUAAAAGAUUCUAACUUUUUUUUAAAUUUUUUUUUACAAUAUUCUACACAUUUCUGCACAAUUUUAUUAAAAAAAUACAAAAAUUAGCAUAAAAAUAGGGACCGAAAGUAGUGAUUGAAAAUUUCAUAGGGACUAAAAGUUAAAAAAAAAAUUGAUAUAUUUAUAGAAACCAAAAACAUAUUUAACCUUAAAAUAUUUAAAUGACCCUAAGUGAUUUAUAUUUGUGGCUGUGAUAAACUAAGAAUUAUCCGCUUUGCAAUUGCAAACUGGUAGACAUCCAAAAUUAAACUCCUCUACACUUUGAGAGAUAUUGAGAGAGUAAUAAAAUGUGUGUGCUUAAGAGAUACACUAGUUACGAUAUUUUUUUAGGGAAGUUACGAUAUGUUUAUGAUGUGAAAAGAGAAAAUAAAGGUGUUAAACGUAUGAAAUUUAGAUGUAUGAUAUAAAGAGUGGUAUAAAUUGUUUAAAAAAAAAAAAGUGGUAUAAUAAAUGCGAUGCAUAAUUAAUGUUUUUUGUCCGAGUAAUCCGUAUAAUUAUACUAGAUGCCGGCUUAACACCGAUUAUGAGACAAUUCAAGAUGACAACAAAAUAUGAUGUGCCAUGUGAUGUCGGCGUGCUACAACUAACUUGAAUGAGAAUCUAACGAAAAAGAUGUAAAGAUGUAUAAUAAACAGAGAUCUCAUAGACAAUUCAAGAUCUAAUAUAAUUAUGUUUAUGAGAUCUCAUAUAUUAACUUUUAGAUCUUGAAUUGCUCCGAUUAAUUAAUGUUUUUUUCGUUAGAUUUUGUCUAUGAGAUUUAAGAUACGACAAUUCAAGAUCAAAGGGGGCGUUUGUUUUGGGGAAACACAAAUUAUUUCCAGAAAUAACAUAUAUGGGAAUGAAAAUAUGAAAAUUUGAUUCUUGUGUAUUUGUUAAAAAAAGUGUUUGGCAAAUAACUUGACAUUCCUGGAAAAAUUGGAAGUUACAAUUUUUUUUUUAAAUCUAUGCAUAAUAUUAUGGGACUGCACAUUCCCAUCUCUUUACAUGGGAAUAAUGGAAGUUAUGGGAAGUUACUCCAUUCCUAGGAACCUUUAUACCCAGGAAUAUUUUUUUCUCAAUCUCAUAACAAACAUGGGUAUAAUCAUUCCCUAGCCAUGUAUUCCCGGGAAUGUCAUUCUUAACCUUGAAACAAACACCCCCUAAGAGUUAAUAUAUGAGAUCUAAGAUUUGAGAUAAUUCAAGAUUGACAACAAAAUAUGAUGUGCCAUUUCAACAUUCUAUUUAUUGCUGAUUGAAGAAAAAGAUGUAUAAUAAAUAGGGGUCUGUAUGUAAAGAAAUAAUUAAUGUAGUUGGAAAUAGAAAAUGAGUCUUAUAAAAAGGGACAAAAAAAAAUUAUCUAAAGAAUUUUAUAAUUAGGGACGGAGGUAGUAUAAAUAUUCAGAACAUAUAGUUACAUAGUUUAAAUAAAUGGAAAAUGUGAAGUAAUAUAUAAUAUGGUCUUUGUGUCAAAAAAAAAUUGUAGUGUUUUUUUGUUUUGUUUAUGAGUCAUUGUUUUUGUCCAGAAUUCGAUCCCUAAAACUUACAUAUAUUAUACGUUAUCCUUCACAACUGAGCUGAGCUCACAAGAUGUCUGUGGGCCAUUUAAACCAACAUAUUAAAUCUCUUGCAUGUAUAUCCUCUUGGUCACACACAAAGAUUAAGAUACAUAUUUUCCUAACUGUUAUUUUAAUUUCUUUUAAUUAUUUAAAGAAGUACCUCAUCCUGUUGGUGUAUGUGCCUAAUCAAUAUAAAUGAAUGAUAGUCAUCUUGAUCAUUGAAUGAAGUUAAUAGUAACAAUAGUCUAUUAAUGUAUCAAAAUUUUAAAAUAAUCUCUUAUUAUGUAUUUUGUUAGUCAAAAUAAUUCAUAAUGUUAAAAUAUUUCAUUAAUAUUGUCAUAUAGUCCUUCAAUAUACUUAUUUAUUGUCAUAUCAGUUCUUAUAAGUAUUUAUUUAUUGUCAUUUCAGUCUAUAUGUGAAAAGAGUUUUUGUAGGCAUUGAAAGAUUAUUUUAGUGUCAUAGACUAUUUUGAGUAACAGAAUGCACAAUCAAAGACUAUUUUAGAAUAUUGAUACAUUAAAAGAUUAUUGUGAUUAGUCAUUACACAUUCAAGAACCAAAGUGACUAUUACCCUCAAUAUAAAUUUGGUCUUCUGAGAGCAUCCACAAUAUGGAGACACACAUUUUUGGGUACCUAAAUGGGUCUCAUAUGUACACAUCACUCAUUUAUAAUUUUUUAAUAGUAGUAUCUUAUAAGCACUUAAUCCUUCCAACUCAGAUCUCACAUAAAUUUCUUAAAUUAGACCCACUAAUCAAAUAUCAAUAACUUUAUAUCAUCACACUUCAAUUUUUUAAUAUUAAAAGAAUGCGAGUCCCGUUUACGAUUGUGAUCUUAAGUAAGACCGGGAAAAAAUUUCUCUCCGAUUUAGAUACUGAGUCUUAAAUAUUUAAGACUCUUCCAUCGAAGAUAAGGACUAAGGCAAAUAAAGGUUCAAUACUUCAGUUCAGAAAAAUACAAAAGGGAUAGAAAUGGAGGAAUUUCCCUUAUCCACACCCUGUGGGAUCACAUCAAUGACUGUGAGACAAUAUAUUUUCAACUAUUUUUAUGUAAGGAACAACGAUUUAGUCAACGAUAGGUAUGAGGUAUCGUAGUAGUCAUAAUUUAAAAUUUUGUUGAGAGUCUUUUUUUAUGUGGUGGUCGAGGUGUGAACCACAAACCUUACAUAUAUUAUGUAUUAUUCCUAACAAUUGAAUUAAGCUCACGAGAACAUCUUGUUGAGAGUCUAACAACGAGAGUAAAAUUUUCAUGUAACCAACAAUUUUUAAUGCAACAAAAAAACGAUUUACCUUUGAGUGGUGUUAAGCCCUCUUCAAUGAGUUUACGAUAUUGCAUGUAGCACAUGAAGCCACAAGCACUAGUUGUCCAAAAAAGCACUUCAGGGAUAUUAAGUUCUUGAGCAGCAUCCAAAGUAAAACUCAUACAACCAUCAGAAACUAUGCAAGUAACAGGAGGGGUGUCUAUAGCAUUAUUAAGUUUUGAAAGAAGUUUCUUAAAGUGAGGUGAACAAGUUGCUCUUGUGGAUUCACACAAGGAAGGAAUAUCCUGUGUUACAUCCACAUCAGACUCAGGUAGACCAUCAGGAAUGGUUUCAAAACGAAAAGAGGGGAGACCAUUGAGAGAAUUAGGACCUCUAGCUUUAAGAAGACGUUUGUGAUUAUAUUCAGUGUUAACAAAGGUGACAUGAAAACCACCUUUAAAAUGAAGAAGUUUUGCAAGUUUGAGCAUUGGAUUUAUGUGACCUUGUGCUGGAAAUGGGAUACACACAACAUGAGAGAGAUUCUUUGUUAUGUCUAAAGAACCCAUUUUGUUACCUCUUAAUUAAUUUCUUUUUUCCAAGCACCAGGUGAAAGAAGAAAGAAAUAUGGUAAAGUGCUUGCAAAUUAUGUGAGUUUGUCUUCCCCAUUGCGCUGGAUAUUUUAUAGGUGAAAUUAAAUGGGACAUUCACGACGGUGCCAACUUUUAAAAAUAUAUAAUAAUAGCAAGUGGAUGGUGGGUUGAUAUAUAUAUAUCGACACGAGGGGUUUGACAAUCUGUAAAUAUAAUAAUUAAAUCGUCAUGCUAACAGUGUCUGGAACAUUAGUUAGAAAGUAAAAUAUAAAUUAUUUUUUAUUAUUAAAAGCAAUAAUUUUUUUAACUUUUAUAAAGUUGCACUUUUCAUUUUUCACCACUUUUCAAUACAAAAUUUUUAUUUUAGUUUCUUUAACUAGUAUCUCGAGAGUACUAAUUAGUUUCUUUGUUAUUAGUUUUUUGAGGAGGGUUAAGUUAAGAUCGAAAAUAAUAAUUAAAUAAAAAAAUUAAUAAAAAAGCUCAAAUGAUUAAUGAGCUUCAUCAAACAACAAAUUGUUAAGAAAAAUUCAAAUUUAAUUUGUAGAUAAGACAAUAUUUAUCAUAUUUUACUUAUCUUUAUACUAAACUCAAGAUUGCCAAAACUUUUUUCAAUUAAGAAUAUAAAUGUUAACACCAAUAAAUAAAUAAAGAUUUUUUUUUGUGGUGGCCGGAGUUCAAAUUCUAGAUCUUGCAUAUAUUAUACAUUCUUCAUACCAACUGAGUUAACCUCACGAAUACAAUAAAAGAUUUUUUUAUGAGUGCCUUUGGAGUUUACUUUAACAUUUUAAAUUAAAAAGUUAUUUAAAAAACUCAAAUAUUUAAAUUUUAAAUAUAUUAAUACACAAAUGUUUAUUAAAGUUUACCGCUUAAGAUUUUUGAAAUGUCUGGUAGCAUUUCUCAUAAAUUAAAUAGAAGCAAAAUUCAAGAGCGAUCGUUAAAACAGAACGGCGGAAGAAGCAUAAAUUGAGUUGAGUUUCUACUCAUUUUUUUAUUGUAUUUUGUGGUUCUUCCACACCUACAAAGAGCUCUUACCAUUGACUCAAUAUUUGCAGGCAUAUUUUUUUAGUGCAAUUAAUACCACUUCCUUUCCUUCCACACCUAAUAAAGAGCUUACACAUGUUCAUAACACCUACAAGAUGUGCUACCUUUACCAGUUUAACUUUAUUGCUCAUUCCUACGUAUAUCCCUAUAAAUUUUACUUCUUUUUCUUCCAAAUUAAAUGAUAUUCUCUUCAAUCAUAUUUAUAAAAAAUGUUUGUGUUAGCAAAAAUUGAUGUUUCUCGUUCAAAAUUUAAAUUAGAUAUAUUUACUUAUAUUAAUGUAAAUUUCUCUUAUAAAUAAAAUCGGAGGAGAUAUACUAGAUCAUUUUACACUAUUAAGAAAACUAUGUAAAUGAAAGAGAGAAUAUUGUUUUAUUAGUGUCAUUAUCAUGAACUCCCCCCAUUCUAAAUUAUAAAUCGCUUUGAGGAAAAUUCUUGUUCAAAAUUAUAAAUUGUUUUACAAUACUAAUGAAACAACUAAUGUUUUUUUUUUUAUUAUAUCAUUGAUUAUUUAUUAUUUUAUCUUUUUUAAUUUAUCUUUGUGAUGCCAUUUAUUAAGAACAGAUAUAUAAAACAACUUAUAAUAUUACUUUUCAAUAUAAAAUUAAUUACAUUUUUAAUAUGUGUGAAAUGCUCAAAAUAUCUUGUAAUUUGAGACGGAUGAAGUUUUGAGUUAUUUAUUGAUAUCAUAAAUGCAAAAUAAAAUAUGUUGAAUUGAAAAUGGUGAAAGGUAUAUUAAUUAAAGGAUAGAAUUAAAAAAGAAAUUAGUGUUAUAUUAAAAAUUAAAAAGAUCGAUUAUUAUCGGACAAGUUUUACUUGCGAAAAAACAGUGGGAGUAUUUAUUUUUUUUUCUUUCUCUAUUACGAGAAUGACCAAUUUAAAAUUCUUAACACUUUUUAGAUUUUCAAAGGGGAACAUCUUUUAUCUAGUUGCAAAUUAUGCGAGUUUGUCUUACUCACUGCACCAAGAUCUUUGAUAGGUGAAAUGAGAUAUUGACGAUGCCAAUUUUAUAAAAGAAUAAAUAUUAGGAAAAUGUUCUUUUUUUUGUUGCUAAUAUUAAAAAAAAAAAGUUUUAUGACGGAUAAUAUCCUUUCUACUGCUGAUGAUUGUUUUCUCUUCUUUAGAGCGGAAGAGGACCCGACACAAAUAAUGAAGGACAUUUUGUUAAAAUAUGAAGUGGCGUCUGGUCAAUCUAUCAGCUUGCCAAAAUCUAAAAUUUUCUAUAGUCGGAAUGUCGAGGAAGCUCGAAAGAAUGCUAUUACGCACAUUUUGGGCGUCCGUGCGGUUCUUGGCACUAGUAAAUAUAUAGGCUUGCCUUCUAUGAUUGGUCGGGAUCGCAAUGCGACAUUUGCAUAUAUUAAGGACAGGGUGUGGCAAAAAAUUAACUCUUGGAGUUAGCAAAUGUUGGUUGAAGGCACGACGAGAGGUUAUGGUAAAGUCUAUGUUGCAAGCUAUUCCUUCGUACGUUAUGUGUAUUUUCCAACUGUCCUCUACUUUAAUUAAUUCCAUUGAAAAAAUGAUGAACUCUUUUUGGUGGGGUCACGGUCGUACUACUUAUCAUGGCAUCCAUUGGCUAAGUUGGGAAAAACUAUCGGUGCAUAAGACUCAAGGAGGUAUGGGUUUCAAAGACCUUUCGGCUUUCAAUUUGGCUAUGUUGGGUAAGCAAGGUUGGAAAUUCCAGACAGAUCCUGAUUCUCUUGUGUCUCAUAUUUUUAAGGCGCGUUACUUUUCAAACAAAUCAUAUUUUACGGCUAAUAUCGGUCAUAAUCCGAGUUAUAUGUGGCGCAGCAUCCUACGAGCUCGGUUCAUAGUCCAAGGAGGAGCUCGUUUGGAGCAUUGGUCAAGGUAACUGUAUUCCCAUUUUAGAUGAGCAGUGGCUGCUCAAUGUGGAAUCUAUUCCAAGUAAUAUUUAAGGAGCCAAUUAUGCGAGUCAUGUCUCGAUAAAUAGUCUUAUAGAUCCUUACUUUAAACGUUGGAACGAACAUGUUGUUUGACAAGUCUUUAGCGAGGAUUUAGCUUCUAAAAUUCUCAACACAUAUCUAUUUGAACAGGUUCAACAUGAUACGUUACUUUGGAAUGCUAAGAAGAAUGGGCGUUAUUCAGUGCGUAGUGUAACACCCCGUUUUCCCAAUAUGAAAAUUUCUAAACAUUUAUCAGAGUAAACAUCAUAAACAGGAUAUCACAUUCAAACAUAAUCCAAAAAUCAGUUAAAUAACAAUUUAAAUUUCAACAAAAUAUCUUAAGCAUUGCAGCGGAAAUUAAUUCAAAAUUCAUAAAUUGUUUUGGCACGUAGGCCCCAGCAAAAUAUCUCAAAUGAGUUAAUCAAUAUCAUAAAAUAACAUAAUUAUUCACGUAAGAGAAUGAAGCAUGCAUAUCAUAAAACCUCAUCCCGUUACGUAUCAGAGCGACCUAGACGACACAGUGAGGCAAGGUCACUCACGACAGCAAUCUGCACACUAAGCUCGAUCACCUGCAAGUUACUCAUACGAAGAGCAACAUUUUCAAGCAGAAGGGGUGAGAUUUCAUAACACAAUAAUAUUAAUCAAUAUAAUUCAAAAUCAUAGUUAACAACAUAAUCAAUCUUAAGCAUCAUUGCAUCUUCAAUAAACAAUUAUCAAGUAAUCACAUCAUUUCAAUCAUCAUCAAUAACAAAACAUCUUUUGACUCGACAAAUGCGACAAUGCAAAUCUAAACCUCUUUAUGCAUGUGGUACCAAUCAGGGUAUGAGCCCCCAACAAUCAUAGUAUUAAUAUACUAUUAAGGCAUCGUGGUGAGGACAAAGCUCAAUUCGUGGUGAGGACAAAGCUCCAGGGCAUGAGCCCCCAACAAGUAUGAUAAUGCAUGGACUCAAUCAAUCUAAAACAAUCUUAAUCAACAACUCAAUAUGCAUCCAAUAAUUUGGAGCUCAACAACAUCUUAUUCAUCAUGUAUAGACUCAUGCAACUUAGUUAAAUAACAACAGCAGCAUAAUCAGAUCACAACAUCAUCAUAAUUUCAUAGUAACAAUUCAUUUCAAUAACAUCAAGGUUUAUUCAAGAAUAAUUCAAGUAAUGCAUUUGAUCGUUAAAUCACAUUACAAACAACUUAGUUCUUAACAACUUCACAAGUCUCAGUUAACAUCUUAAAUAGGUUUCAUUACUACCUAAUGUCCAUUCCUAAUCAAUCCAAACAACUCAGGUCACGAAAUUAUCAAAAGCACUCAGUUCUGGAAGUGCUCGCGAGGCGAGAGCGUCUGCUCGCCAUGGCGAGUACUUGCCAGAUUUCCAACUAAGGUUGUUCCAGGUUCAUUCUUGUUCUAAAUCAUCCUCUAAUCUUUAGUAGACAUCUAAAGGUACUCAAAAGCAUCUAAGGUUCAACUCAAAAGUCCAAAAUAUGAAAAUCAACAUACUCUCUGGUCAUGCUCGCUAUGGCGAGUAGGCUUGCUCGUUGUGGCGAGCUACGACAUGUAACUCGCGAGGCGAGGGGUUUUGGCUCGCGUGGCGAGCGAUGAACUUCAUCACUCGCGAGGCGAGGAUCAUCGUUCGCCAGGGCGAGCGAUGAAUGUUGGCUCGGGCAGAAUUGCAGUUUUUACAAAAAAUCCAUCAAAUCUCUUGGUUUAAAGCCUAAUUCUGAUUCCUGAAUUCAUUCUAAUCAUAAUCUAAGGUCAAGGGACGUUUUCUACAACAAUCUAACAGUUAAACAUCAUCGGAUCGUCAAUUUCUCCUAUUAACCCUAAUUUCAAAACUUUUCUAAUUCAAUCCUAACUUUGUUAAUUGAUCAUCAGAAUCAUACUAAUUAACAUUACUGAAUCAUUAGUCUCACACUUACCUUGUUUUGCAGAAAUCGCAGCUUUCCCUAGGUGAUUCUCUCUUCUCUUGACUUUUCCUCCUUUUCUCCGAAAACAGUCGUACGUACUAAUUUUUCUACAACCUAGGUCUUUCCUUUUUAUAUCUCUUCCUAAUAUCUUAUCUUAUCUCACUUCCUCCCCCAAAACUCUCUAAAAUCUCAAAACAGCCAUCAACUAAAUAUUUUAUUUUAUUUUCAAAUCUUAUUUGAUUUAACAAUAAAAUAAGUCUCAUAAUCUCAUCAAAUCAUCAAAACACAUCAAAAUCAUCCAAAUCAUCUAAAUCGUCUUAAAUCAACAAAAUUCACACAUAUAUUAUAUAAAUAUAAUAUAAUCGUCUAAACUCGAUUAAAUAAUUAAUUAAACGAAAGUGGGUGUUACAACUCUCCCCAACUUAAAAGAUAUUCGUCCUCGAAAAUUUAUCUCAAGCAAACAACUCUGGAUAAGACUCCAGCAUCUUACUCUCAAGCUCCCACGUCAAGCUUUCACCAGUCGCUCUAGCCCAAACGACUCUAACAAGGGGUAUUUCCUUGCCUCUCAACGUCUAAUAUUUUCUUAUAAUUAUUGAAGAGAUUGAAAGUGUCAAGGUAAGACGAAUAAAUUUAUCGAUUCAUGGAUAAUUUCUAACUAUUUUAGUUUUUUUUUUUUGGUAAAUAAAUUUGUUUAAGCUGACUAAAAAUAUAAUAUUAUGGUAGCUUAAAAUAAAAUGUACUCAAAUCAUUUAAUAUAAAUAUUAUUUUUGGGAUAGCCAUCCUCGUAAGAGGUUGCGCCCCUGAUAUUAACCCUUGCAAGUGGAAGGUGGAUUGAGAUAUAUCGACAUGAGGAGUUUGUCAUUAUAUAUAUGUUUAUUAUAUUAUAUAAAUAUAAUAAUUACUUUCUUCAUUUAUUCAAAAAUAAUUACUUUCUUCAUUUUUAGUUGUCACUUUAAAUUUACCUACAUAUGUGUUAUAUAUAAAAGAAAUAUAAGGUUUUAGACUGACUUUUUUACUUUUAAUUAUACCUUAAAUAAAUUUGAAUACAAAAGUGUUAUAUUUUGUUUUCAUUCAAAAAGAUUAUAAUUUGUAUUAUAUUUCCUAUAUUUUAGAUUAUAAUUUGUAUUAUAUUUCCUAUAUUUUGGUGUGAUUGAAAAAGAUAUAUAUAGUUUGUUUUUUGUCAAAAAAAAGUAUAGUUUGUAAUGAUUUGAAAGUGCAAAAUAUAGUAAUUUAUACGUGUUAACGCAUUUAAAAAACAGACAAACAGGCACGAAGUUCUUAUCUGAACGCUAGUAUUAAAAAAAUUAAGAAAAAAUUACUUUGAUAGAACUUUUUUUUGUAAUACUAUAAUUUCAUUUAUUAAAUUGGUUCAAUUCUCAAUCGUUGCAGCGAAAAUUGUGAUCAAUUGAUCCACAUGGUCAAAUAAUAAUACUAACCAUUAUAGAUUGGAUUUCGUCCUAAUAUAAUGCAACCCGAUAAUCUAUAAUUCACAUCGUGUCAGAGUUAACGUGGAAUCUUCUGUAUGCGUCGCCGUGUAUAAGCGUAGCAUCGAUGAUCAUAGUCGUCAAUGUGAUCUCUAAUCUACUCCAAUGUUUUUUCCAGACUUCACGGAGAUAAAUAUGUUUAAGCACCCUUAUAUAAAUAUAAUUGUGUGCAAUUCCAAUCACACGAAUAUAAUUCACAACUUUUCACCAACUUUUUUAGAGAGUAUUCUCUACAUUUUUCUUGUAAUAUCCUUGUACUCUCCACACUUUUUUAGAUUUUCGAAAAGGAACGUUUGAUACGAAUCUAGUUUUUUUUUUUAUAUGAAUCUAGUUGAAAUGAAGACCUUACAAUUUUGAUUAAAUUUUAAUAAAAUAUUAUAUUUUUUAAAGAGAAUAAAAUAUUAUAUUUGUCUCUACUUUUUAUUAUAAUGAAAUUUAUUUUUCAUUUUAAAGGGUAAGGAUUCACUAUGGACAAUCUUUUGGAGAUUGGCUUGUUCUAAGGAGGCUACAAGUGAGGCGAUUGUCUUACACUUUUGUUAGACCUCAUGUUUCUUAGAGUAAUGAUAUUUGUAUAUCUAAUUGAAGACAAUUUUGGUGACAACCAUACUUUUUUCUCUUUUUAUUGGUCAAAAAUAAUGAAGGGAAAAAAAAAGAAAAAAGAGGAUAAAAAUGUCAUGUGAGUAUGAGAGAGAAAAUUAUUCAAAAGUUGUCACAAAAUGGUUGUACAAAUAUUAUUACUCUAUUUCUUAUUUUAACUACUAAUCAGACGGACAAUCCGUGUCUAUUAUCUGUUGUUUUUAUUGCGUUAACAUAAAGACACGUGUUGACAAGACACCUAAAACAAGAAUUUAGUUUUUCAUUAAGAGAAAUGAUAUUUGUACAACCAUUUGACUACAACUUUUUUAUAACUUUCUCUCUCAUACUCACAUGAUGUUAUUAUCUUCUCUCUUCCUUUUUCUCUUUUCAUUGUUUUUAAUCGAUCAAAAGAGAGGAAAACAAAAUUGUGACCAAAGUUAUCAUUAAAUAGAUGUACAAAUAUCAUUGCUCAUUCACUAAAUAUCAGAAAGUGGGUACUCCAAUUUUUUUUCUCUUUCUCUUUUAGAAAAGAGUCAAUUUGAACAUCAUCACGCUGAAUGAAAACCAAAACAAAUUUGAGAUAAGAUGUGUUGACUAUGGACAAGGAUUCUCUCAUCUUUCUAGUGGGCUUUUCACCUGAGACUGUCCAAUGAAAUAAUGGCUGCAUGUGGAAGUGGUGAAAUAAUGGCUGUGAUUUCACAUUGACAAGAGGGUUAUUGUUUGUUACUCACUAAUUUACGUGCCAAAAUGACCGUCCAUCAUAAAUUAUAUAAUAAUUUGUUUUGACAUUGUGUAUUAGUAAUUAUUUUAUUUAGAUAGGAUGUUCAGUAGAAUCCCGUCUGGUAAGACUGAAUUUUAAUAUUUUUGAUAAAUUUUAAUCCUCCGAUCAGUCAAACAUUCAACGUGAUUUCCAUCAGAGCUAGGGCACGACAACAGCACAAAAAGAUAAACGUUAGAUACAACGAACCAGGAUUCUCAUAAAAAAAUAAUAUACAAUGAGGAUUUGAUUGGAUAAUAUGUAGCUGUCUGCAGUUGGAAAGAAGUGCAAAUAACAUGUAGAACUGUUUAUGACUUUCAAAAAGAAAAAAUGUAGAACUGUUAUGAAUAUUCUUGAUUCGAUAAGAUUUUGUUUUUCUUUUUUUCAGAGGUUGAUUUGAUAAGAUUCUACUGCUAUAAAUAUUACUAGUACCAAGUACCAUAUUUUUUUUUAAAGGAAAUGUUAACCGGUGUCUCUAAGACAUUAGUAAAGACCAUAAAAAAUACUAACUUUUUAUGAAAGUUUGUGUAAUCGAUGUAUUGAAAAUUAAAAACUUUUACAUUUUUAAAGAAUACUUACUUAAUUUAACAUGAAGAGUGCCUCGGAAGCACCCGUUAACAAGAAUUUUUUUAAUAUAAAUUCUAUCAUAUGGCUCGCGUUCACGUGACAUGAAAACUGGAGAGAUAUAAUUUUAAACUGUAGUGAGAAUAUUUUAUUUAGGAGAAAUGAUAUUUAUACAAUUAUUUUUUAAUAAUUUUUGUGACAACUUUCUCUCUCAUAUUCACAUUAUAUUUUUACUUUCUCUCUAUUGUUUUGAUUUUUGUAUCAACAAUACUUUUCUUUGUAAAAAUAUGGUUGUCAAUGUAGUUGUCAAUCAAAUUAAUGUUAAAUAAUAUUUGAUAGCAGAAACGCCGUGUACGACUGGUAACAGAAAAUUCAAUUUAUGGGCAAAUAAGUUGUAUUGGAGGUGUGUUAUGAAAUCAACAUCGUGCUAACCUACACGAUAGGGUGGUCCUUUUCCUUUAGUUUAUUUUGGGGGGCAUGCUAGAACAUCUAAUUGGAUUUGAAUGUACUAACUUUUGUUCUCUAUCAUUGCAAAAAUAUAAAAUAAACUUUACGUUCUCUAUCUUUGGGUAAGUUUAGACAAAAGUAGAAGAGACAAUAUGGAAAAAUCUAGAGGGAAAAUAUGAGGGGGAAAACGAGACAUAACAAUAUAACAUAUAGAGAAAGAUCAACGAUUUUCAAUUCCAACGUCUAUUGAGCAUCCGUUACACGGGCAGACUGUAUGUUAUCCCCCGUGAUUUUAUGCUAUGUUUAAAAUAUAAUAACAUUAUGUGAGGGUGUGUGUUCACAUGGGAAAGGUUAAUCCUUUUCUACCAUGGGAAAGUUAGAUUCAAUGAUUAGAUUAAGUGAAGAACAUAUUCUUAACAUGCUCUCUCAACAUUAGAUUUUUCUUCACACUAUCUUCCAACAAUUUAAAAAUUCUGAAAAUUAAUUUUCAGAAAUUAAAAAAAUCGAAAAAAUCAGAUAAUUUUCUUUUAAAUUCAGUAAUUCAUUUAUUGAAUGUUAGAAUUUUUUUUUCGAAAAAUAAAAUUAUUUCAAUAAAAAUAAAAUUUUGGAAACUAAGAUAAAUUUUUAUUUUUCUAAAAAGAAUAUAUUUUUUAAUUUCAUAAUAAAAUAAGAUAUUCUGAAAAAUAAAAUAAAAACCCUAAAAAAAAUAUUUUGAAAUAAAAUUAUGGAAAAUUCUGAACAAUUAUUUUUUCAUUUUUUAAAAAAAAAAAUCUGAACUUUUUUUAUAUUUUUUCGAUUUUUUUAAUUUCUGAAAAUUAAUUUUCAGAAUUUUUAAAUUGUUGGAAGAUAGUGUGAAGAAAAAAUCUAGUGUUGAGAGAGCAUGUUAAGAAUAUGUUCUUCACUUAAUAUAAUCAUUGAAUCUAGUGGUGGGAAAGGAUUAACCUUUCCCAUGUGAAAUGCCACCUUAUGUGAGUAUCAUAGAGAGAUGUCUAAGGGUGCCAUUUAAUUUGGGAAAGCAAACUUCUUUCCCAUCAUGGGAAAGUAAAUCUCAACCAUUAGAUUCAAGAGGAACAUUGAUUUUAUCAUAGUCUUUCUACAUUAUAUUUUUCCCCUUUAUUCUUCUUCAUCCCUCAAUAAAAACUCUCAUUCAUCUUUGUUCAUCUCUUAAACCUAAAAUUCCAAAAAUCAAAAUAAAAAUUCAAAAAUAAAAAAACUCAAAUACACACAAACGAAGAGGAAGGCAAUAGAUACACAAAUUUUCUCUUUUACAAUUUUGCUAGUUUAUUGAGAAUCGAUUUUAAUUUAAAUUCUGUUUGAUCUGGGUUUUUAUUUAUAGGUUUUCCAACAUAUAAUUUUUUUGGUUUUAUUUAUGAGAUUAUGAAGAUGGAAGUUAGAAUUAAGGGAUUGAUGAAGAUUUUGAUGUUGAGGUUGUUGUUGUUGUUUGUAGAAAACAUUGUUGUUAGUGGAAUUGUUGUUGUUGUUGAAAUUGACGGAUAAAGGGGAAAAAAAUAUAAUGUAGAAAGACUAUGAUAAAAUCAAUGUUCCUCUUGAAUCUAAUGGUUGAGAUUUACUUUCCCAUGAUGGGAAAGAAGUUUGCUUUUCCAAAUUAAAUGUCACCAUGUCUAAGAUAAUGAAAGCGGAUGUAUCAUUUUCAAUCAAGGUGAAUAGUGUUAGUGUUGGUCGAAAAUAUACAUAUUGAAUAAGUCUCACAUUUCGUAAAAUUAUAAAGGGAGAGGUAAACCAAGACUAUAUAUAUAUAUAUAUAUAUAUAUAUAUAUAUAUAUAUAUAUAUAUAUAUAUAUAUAACUUCUAUUUUUUCAUUACAAGAUGCAUCAGUCGGAAACAUUUUAAUUUUGUAUAAACCAAAUCAAACCGCUUCAGCACAAAGUGUACUGAAAAGAAGCCUGAAAAAGUAGCAUAAACAUCACAUAAAAAAUGUAGAAAAAAGAUCAAACUAAACUAGCUUGGUAAGUGCACUUAAACAGUAAAUAAGGUUAUGCCUCCGUAGUUGGUACUCAAAAUCAAAUAAAACAUAUUUUCGACUUAAACCACCAAUAAGUCUGAAGCUUCACCCUUUCACAAAGAGCCCGCAGAAUUUCCUCCUUCCGCUAGAAAAUACGUCUAUAACGUUCCUUCAGAUGAUCCAAGCAACAGAAAGUCAAAUAUAAUACCAAAUUAGAGAAACCUGAUAUAUAUAUGCCCAAACAUCCUGCCACUAUAAGCUAAGCACUAGAGAAACCUGGCAAACUAGAAAUAUAAUACCAAAUUCUGCCAAAAAAUCACACUUAACAAAAAGAUGAUCAACAUCCUCUUGCUCAUCAUAAUUUGUCGUGCAGCCCUGGUCAUUAGCCGCUAUGAUGCGCAUAAGAAAUAAAUUAUCCUUCGUUAGCACUCUAUUACAAAAAAGCCUCCAAACAAAAAUUGAAACCUUAAGAAGAAUAACCUUUAGCCAAACAAAUUUGUGAUGAAUGCUAUAUAUAAUUAGAAUUUUGAACACUACAGUUACAGGAGUUGGUCAUGGGAAUUUAUAUAAAAACAAUGUGCAACUGUUCUGCACAAUCACAUAAUGAUUAUUCCUAAAACAUAGACAAGUUUCCUUUGUUUGUUGAGCUAAAGAUUCUGGUUAGUUGACUGAUUUGAAUGCUCCAAUUACAACUCUUUAAUCUUCCAACGGCUCUCCAUGUAAUGUGUCAUUAAUAUGAGAUUUCUCUUUGCUACGGUCUUCUGUUUCUUUUUCUGUCCAACAUAUAUCAUUAUUAUUGUCUAAAAUCAUGCGGUUUGGGUUAGAUUGGUUGAUGCAGUUUUUUUAGACAAUAUAAUUUUUUUUGUUUAAAAUCAAGUUAAAAAGCUAUAACACAACAUAUUUUCAGCAAUGUUUAUGACAAUAUUUUAUGAAUAAAAAAUAAUUCUAUUAUGUAAGAAAUGUUAAACAUUAAGAUUUUAUCAUUCUAUAAACUUUGAAGUAGUAUAUAAAUAUAUUUUUGAAAUAAAAAAUAAAGAAGAAACUUAACAAGAGAAAAAAUAUAUCAAUUUUUAAAAGUUUCUAUGAGUAUUGAGUUAUGUGACAUAGGUUCAAUUAACAUUUUUCUUAUGUUGUGUUUUGGUUCGAUUGUUAAAUAAAAACUGCAAACUGAACCAAACCAUGCGGUUGAGUAAAAAAGUGAUCUAAAUACAUCCAAAUUAAAUGUAGUUUUUUGCGGUUUCGAUUUGAGUUGGUUCGAUUUACGGUUUUUUUAUUGGACUGGUUCGGUUUUGAACACCCUUAGCGUUGAGAGCCAUAUAAUUUUCAUAGUCAAAUGAACCUAUUUUGAAGAUCCACCUAAACCACCAAAAUGCUCGAGUUGGUUCAACAAAUUACCCCAAGUUACUGUGACAAAUUCUAACAAGUCUAAACUAAAGACCAGAUUCUUCCAUGAAAGUAAAAUCUGAAAAACAAAUUAUCCAUGUCAUCAUUCAUACCACACUCACCAAUACAUAUUUGAUUGUUGUUAGAAAGAACCCUCUCCUUACCAAAUUGUCCUUAGUAGGAAUGCAAUUGAGGAUCAAAUGCCACACAAAAAGAGUUAAUUUAAGCGGAAGUAAAUCCUAAGAAUGCGAGUGUUGUCUGAUAUAUCAAUGGUGUUCACUGCUGUCAAAUAGUUAUAAGCACUACUCACCAAAUAGCAAUUGGAAGAAUCUAACUUCCAUACCCACCAAUCCUCCAUAUCCACUGCAAAACAAUAAGUGUCAACAAUUGAUUACAUUCCCUCACCUGCUCUUCCUCCUAAGUUAACAGCAUCCUUGAUUACAUUUCCACUAGUGUCGUUAGUAUGUUAUCAGCCAACUCAUAUAACCUUCCGAACCUAACACUAAAAGGUACUCCGUCCAACCAAUGAUCCCUCCAAAACAUAGUAGAAGACCCAUCACCCACCUCGCGCCCUAUAUUAUCCUCCAACCAACUUCCCACCCGCAAACCUACACCCUCACACACCCUAUUAAAAUUCUACCACCAAACAGAUCGUAUGUCUCCUCCGUAACGAGCAGCUAGGACCCCAACCAAUAUACUUUUAUGAAAAUUUACUUUUAAAUCAUAUAUCACCUCAAAAAGAAUAAGGACGACUUUCCACGCUUUAACAUCAGCCCAACUUUUCGUUCCCACCAACAAGGUGUCAUCCGUAACUAUAAAUGAGUAAUAGGUAUAACAUCAUUUGUCCCACCACUAAAUUCGGUAAACAAUCUUGCAUCCACCGUAGCAUUGAUCAUGGCAUUUAAACCUUCUUCCGCUAUCAAAAAAAGAAAAGGAGAUAGAAGAUCACCCUGACGCAAGCCUCUUGCAGAAUUAAACUCUUUAGUCGGGCAACCAUUCACAAGAACUGACGUUUCUGCCAUAGUUACACAUUCUAAAAUCCACUUACAACCACAAAGUUGCAAAAUUCAUCUUAAUCAUAAACUCUUUCAAAUACUUCUAAAGCCCCGAUACUUCAAAAUAGAUGACGUAUCGUAUCCCCUGCGUAUUCUGCACCGAUACCUGUCUGAUACUUCCCGAUACGUAUCAAGAGAGUAUCCGAAGAUUAAAUUUUAUUUUUUUUAAAAAUAAUUAUCCGAUACUUCCCGAUACGUAUCAGGAUAGUAUGCGAUAAUUAUCCUGCAUUGAUAUCUGCUCCGAUACUUCCCAAUUAAUGUUAACUAAAAUAACUUAAGUUUUGAGUACUGAUGUGUUAUUUUUUUGGAUAUAGUGCUUCUUUUUUGGAUCGAUAGAGUAUAACACUAACAAUGUUCCUUUUGGAUAUAGUAUAACAUUGAUGGUGCUCUUUUUGGGAUAUAUUGUGUAUGUAAUUGACUAAUCAUCACUCUCUUAAUCGUCAAUAUUAUUUAUAUUUAUGUUGAUGUGGUACGAGCCUAUGACUGGUUUAUUUUGUUUGUUAAUAUAUUUGCAUAUUAAAUUCAUUUAUACACAAAAUAUAAUUAUAUUUAAACUAUGCUCAUUAACAAUCCUCAUGAGAAUUUAAAAUUUUGAAAAGAUUUUUUUCCUCUGCUAGGGUUUCCAAUUUCUCCAUACUUGCAUCGCAGUCUUGCCAUGGCCUUUGAUUGGCAGGCUGAGCUGAGCGCCUCCCCUGGAAGGAUCACAGUGAAUCAUGAUUCUCCAGCCUUAACAAUCCUCCCUCCUCCCAAACUGGUACAGAGAAUCUCUUUCGCACAAGCUCUAUCUGCCUCCGCAACAACAUCCGCUAGCAAUGACAACCUACCGCAGCCGCUAAUUCGUGGUGAUAACGUAAGCGUUCACAUAUCUCAGUCCGUUUAUGAGAAGGGUAUGGCCUUUUGUAAACGUAAUCUCCGUGGUCGCCUAGUUCUAAAUAAGGGCGAUAAACCCUACACCACCAAGGACAUAUAUUCCAAACUUCAGAAUCAAUGGAAUACUAAUGGGGCUUGGUCCAUGACGUCCUUGGGAAGGGGAUUCUAUGAAUUCUUUUUCUCUACUGAAGCAGAUUUGCGCUUGGCAUGGGCGAUGGGAACGAUCAAUUUGAAGCCGGGUGUUCUUCGCUUGUUUGAAUGGAAAAAAGAUUUUAAUCUGCACACACAACGUAAUACUCAUGCUCAAGUGUGGAUCCGACUCUUAGAGCUUCCUCAGGAGUAUUGGAUGGAUAGGACGCUACGUGAAAUUGCUUGUGCAGUGGGCACCCCACUUAUUAUUGAUAACGCUACUACCAAACGUCUUUACGGCCAUUAUGCCCGCAUUCUUGUUGAUAUGGACUUCUCAAGAAAAAUGUUCCAUGAGAUCACUGUUGAGAGAGAAGGUUAUGCAUUCAAUGUUGAGGUGGCGUAUGAAUGGCUGCCUGAUUUUUGUACCCACUGCCAGAACAUAGGACAUGACGUUUCCGCGUGCCGCUGGCUAUAUCCCCGUAAGGAAAGCAAUGCCCAUAAGGAGAAUAUUGCAUUGGGCAAAAAACCGGUUCCUUCUAUCAAAAAAACAUGGGUCCCUACAAAAGAAAAUCCCACUGGGAUUGGCUCUUCUCUGGCCUUUGCUGAACCGCAUGAGUCAGUUCCGCCGACGCCCUCUAGAGGACAGCAACAACAGAUAUCACAACAGGAACCUUCGGCCGUGCCCACACCUUAGGAAAUAUUGCCGUUAGUUGUGACAGAUGCUCAACCCGCGCUGGACAUUACUGCCAUUCCGGCUGUUGAGCUUGCACUUGAGCAACAUGAUAUUGAUGCUACAAUUCCAUUGGUAACAGACACGGAUCAGCAAGAAGAGGUAUCAUGCCAGCAGCCUCAUCCAGAUGUUACAGUUCAGCAAGAUAGUAAUCAGACUUCCUAUAGCAUUCCGCUUGUCAAUAUGUUUGAUAUUGUGGCUAGGAAUGACCUUACGUAUCAUGAGCCAGUUUUAUCUCCCGUGCGAGAGUUAGAUGUCAGUACAAUAGCAGCUAAUCCGGCCACGACGGUGCAUCCCACAUUGAGGCAAGAAAUGGAUUUUAUGCAAUCAUGGUUGGACAAGGCAGCGGUCAAUGAGGAAGUUCCUUUUUCACCAGUGGUUACUAAAUCUCAGAAAAAGAAAUUGGCCAGGCUUCACAAGGCUGCCGACAAGGCUGCUGGUUAUCAAACCCGUUCACAGGGUCCCCUCCCGACAUCUCAAUGAAGGUUCUUUUCUGGAACAUUCGGGGUAUUGGUAACAAUGACUCACGUGUAGCUCUUAACGAUAUGUACCAUGCUAAUAAUCCUACUUUGAUUUUUAUUGCUGAACCUAUGGUAGCUUAUGAUUCUAUUCCUAGUCGGUUUUGGAACACUAUUCAGAUGACAAAUUAUUGUGUAAACGUAAGGGAGCCGCUCAUUCCUAAUCUUUGGGCGGUGUGGGGUUCGGAGAUCACGUUUACUGUUGUCUUUGCAUCCUCUCAAUGUUUGGUCCUUCAACAUGUCUGCAACGGGACUACUAUUUAUAUUGCAGGAGUUUAUGCUAGCACAUCUUAUCUUUUGCGCCGCCAACUUUGGGCUGAUCUAACAAUGCUCCAGAAUAAUUACGUCGCUCCGUGGAUUUUUGUGGGGGAUUUUAAUGCCGUCUUGGGUGCUCAUGAGAAAAGGGGACGUCGUCUCCCUCCCUCUAUUUCUUGUACGGAUUUUCUUGCUUGGUCCAAUGCCAAUUUAUUAUUACAUCUGAAUACAAAUGGGGUACAAUUUACUUGGAACAAUGGCAGGUUAGAUUCCGACUCUGUCUUUCUUCGGCUUGACAGGGUUAUUUGUAACCAAGCCUGGACAGAUUUUUGGGGAGGUACCUCGUGCACAGCUCUCUUAAGGACUAAAUCCGAUCAUCACCCUCUAUUGGUGCGCAUUGAUCUCUCAGGAGUGCGUAGCACUGCUUCUUUCAAAUUUUUCAAGACUUGGGUAAAUCAUGAUGAGUGUCGUCCGCUUGUUUUGAAAAUUUGGCAGCAACCAAUUAUUGGCUCAGGCAUGCAUCGUUUACAAAUUAAGUUACGCAAAAUUAAGGACGCUUUCCGAGUGUGGAACAAGUCCAUUUUUGGAGAUGUUCAACGUCAAGUCAAGUUGGCAUUUGAUGAGGUGAUGCGCAUUCAGAAUUUGAUUGAUGUCGCUGGUUUGGAUUCUGAUCUCCAUACGUUAGAAUUACAUGCACAAUUGUCUUUGACAAAAGCCAUGAACAAUCAAGAUCAAUUCUGGCGUGAAAAGGCUAGACAACAGAGUUUUAUUUAUGGGGACCGCAACACUGCUUAUUUUCACAGAUUGGCUCGCAUCAAAUCGUGCUCCAAACCUAUCACUUUUCUUCAGAUUGGUAAUGUCCGGAUUACUGAUCCUAGACAAAUGGAAGAACAUGUGGUGGAUUAUUUUCAAAAUAUUUUUGGAGGUAUUAAUAUAUGUGCUACUACUGAUUUGGUGGCUAGAGUAAUUCCGACGUUGGUUUCGAUGCGGGAAAAUAGUGCUUUGACUACGGUGCCUGUUUUUGAUGAGAUUAAAAAUGCGGUGUUUGAUAUGAACGCGGAUGGAGCUCCUGGUCCUGAUGGCUUCGGGGGACAUUUCUAUCAAUAUUUUUGGGACAUUGUGGCGGUCGAUGUAGUGAGUUCGUUACAAGAUUUCUUUUACACAGGGGCGCUGAUUCCAAAUAUUAAUGCCAACAUUCUGGUGCUGAUUCCUAAAGUCCCUGGGGCUGCUUCCAUGGGGGAUUUCCGCCCAAUUGCAUUGGCCAAUUUUCAAUUUAAAAUUAUUACUAAGAUUUUGGCUGACAGACUGGCUAUUAUUUGCAUGAGAAUAAUUUCCCCUCAACAGCGAGGCUUUGUUCGUGACCGUAACAUUUCAGAAUGUGUCAUUAUAGCCUCUGAAGUUGUCAACCGGUUAGACAAGAAACAAUUUGGUGGGAAUAUUGCCAUCAAGGUUGAUAUUCGCAAGGCUUUUGAUACUCUUGACUGGAAUUUUUUAGUAGCAGUUUUGAAGCAGUUUGGGUUCUGUGAUUUAUUCUGUGACUGGAUUCUAGCCAUUUUGCAUUCAGCUCAUCUCUCUAUUCUGUUGAAUGGCAACGCGGUGGGAUACUUCCCUUGUACCCGGGGAGUUCGACAAGGUGACCCUCUCUCCCCCCUUCUCUUUUGUCUAGCGGAGGAGGUUCUCAGUCGCGCGCUUGAGAAUGAGAGGGUCUCCAAUUCUUUACAGCCUAUGUCCUAUUGUAGAGGAGUCUCCCUUCCUACGCACAUCUUAUAUGCCGAUGACGUUUUUAUUUGUUGUGUUGGCUCCAAGAAAAAUAUUAGAUGUCUGCUUCGAAUUUUUAAUGAGUAUUCGGACACAUCCGGACAGUUGGUUAACUUUGACAAGAGCAAAUUAUAUACGGGCGCGAUGACAGGUUCUCGUCGGAAUAUGGUUGCGCAUCUUUCUGGUUUUGCGGUGGGUACUAUUCCUUUCCAAUACUUAGGCUGCCCCAUCUUUCAAGGUAAGCCUAAACGUAUUCAUUUUCAAUCUAUCGUGGAUCGUAUUAAGGUUAAGUUGGCCACUUGGAAGGGUGUUAUGUUAUCAAUCAUGGGGCGUGUCCAAUUGGUCAAGUCUAUAGUACACGGCAUGCUGGUGUAUUCUUUUCAUAUCUACCGUUGGCCUAUUCGGUUAUUGAAGACGUUGGAUCGUUGGAUCAAAAAUUUUAUUUGGAGUGGUGAUAUUUACAGUCGAAAAAUAUGCACGGUUUCUUGGCAGCAGGUUUGUCUACCAUGGGAAAACGGUGGUCUUGAUCUCAAAUCCACCCGCUCUAUAAAUUCUUCCUUGUUAUUGCACCUUAGCUGGACCAUCUUCACUCAAGACUCUGAAUGUGCCCGCAUGUUUCAGCAGCGUUUCCUCGCUUAUGGCCUGCCUCGCAACAGUUAUUUUAAAUCUUCCAUUUGGCCUGGCGUAAGGGAUUUCCUAACCACGGUAAAAGAAAAUUCUGUAUGGAUUGUUGGCAAUGGAAAGAGUAUUAAUCUUUGGUUAGAUAAUUGGCUGGGCACACCUCUUGUCAUGAUGUUAAAUACUCCACCGUGUAUGUUUCCCUCUCUUACCAUGACACUUGAUGCGGUUAUUAUUAAUGGUAAAUGGCAAAUCCCUUCUCCUCUCAUUAAUUAUCCGAAUGUGGCUGUUGCUAUUAUGAAAACUACCUUACCGGUUUCCCCUUUGCCGGAUAAGCAUAUUUGGAAACACGCUUCUGAUGGUAUUCUCACGUCUAAGCUGGCGCACUUGUUCCUGUGUCCUCCUCUUGUUGCUCUUGAUUGGCCGGCUGUUAUUUGGCGCUCUUGCAUCCCCCCAUCGCACUCAUUUGUUUUUUGGCGUUUAAUGCUGUCCAAGCUUCCGACAGAUGAGCAUCUCCGGUCCCGUGGCUGCACCUUAGUGUCUGUUUGUGUUCUCUGUUUUCGGCAUGCAGAAACUUCUUCCCAUCUGUUUCUCCAUUGUGAAUUUGCAAUAAUUAUUUGGCGUUGGCUGGGUGUUAAAUUAGGGUGCACUAUAUCCUUGGCUUCUUAUUCGUCAAUUCUUGAUUGCAUACCGCGGCCUUGCAGUUCCCAAAUUCUUGAUGUGUUUGCUGCUGCUCUCGUUCACACGGUUCACACAAUUUGGUUGGCUAGGAAUGCGAUCCGUUUCAGCUCCGCCAAUGUUUCUAUCCAUGCUUCCAUGGCCAAAAUUUCGUCCCUGAUUGCUUUGUCUGGUGCUAAUUCCAAAGGUAAUUGUUUAGUCACGGAUGGGGCUGUGUUACACAAUUUUAUGAUACCUCCUUCCUACCGGCGUAUUAAAGAGAUUAUACCUGUGAUUUGGAAACCUCCAACCAUUACUUGGGUUAAGGCGAACAUUGAUGGUUCUGUUCUUAAUCUUCAUUCUUCAUGUGGGGGAAUUUUUAGGGACUUCCGUGGUACUUAUUUGGGUAGCUUUGCUUGUAAUAUUGGUCAUGGAAAUGCUUUUGAAGCUGAGCUUGCAGGUCUGAUGUGUGCUAUGGAGUAUGCGGCUUCCAACAACUGGCUUAGAUUGUGGCUUGAGUGCGAUUCUGCCACUGCGGUACAGGCCUUCCACAAUCACUCUCUUAUCCCGCUGCGUUUACGGAACCGUUGGCAUAACUGCAUUCAGCUUGGACUUAUGGUGAUUUGUUCCCACAUUUUUAGAGAGGGUAAUUGUUGUGCGGACAUUCUGGCUUCCUUGGGACAUACGGUGACCUCCAAUACUUGGUUCCGGACUAUGCCGGCUUCUCUUUCGGAACAUUUUGCUAGAGACAGAAAUGGCCUGCCUAACUAUAGAUUUCCGUAGCCAUCUCUUGUCUGGUUGUUAUGCUUUAUUUUAUUUUAUUUCGCCUUGAGGGUUUUGGCCUAGUCCCCCCUCUUUUGUACAUAUUUUCCCCCUUUUUUAUUAAUAUUAUUUAUUAGGUUGGCGGUAGAGGAUGGGCGUACUGUGGGGUGCCAACCUAGUUGGGAUGCCACAGCUAUACCUUGAUGCCUAACCUUCCUAUUGGCCUAUCAAAAAAAAUUAAUUUCAUUAUCAACUUGUAUUUGGAGGAAGUAUUUUGAGGUCCAGACACUUACCCAGAGAGAAACAAUUAAGUCAAAAUCAUACAAAUUGCGCAAGAGGAUGCAAAAUUGGUGAAAUACAUUGUUCUCGUGCUUUAAUUAUUUAAAUGAGAAGUGAUAACUAUACAGACCACAAAACGUGAUAAUCACAACUUUGAGUUAAGUACUCAUUUUGGACUCAUUUACAGAAAAUAUUUAGACUCUGUUUGAUAAAAAUAACGGAUAACUGAUAAGUUAGCUUAUAGCUUAUAGCUGAUGACUGAUAGCUUAUAGCUUAUAGCUGAUGAUUGAUAGCUUAUAAGCUAACUGAAGUGUUUGGUAAAACUAGCUGUUCAACUAGCAGAUAAAUGUAAAAUGACAUAAAGGGCAUUCUUAAUUUAUAAUAAAAUCAUAUCAAAUAAUAUUUAAGUAUUUGUAAUUUCGUAAUCUAAAUUUUCUUUAAAAAUACUUUAAAAUAAUGAAAGGUAUAAUUUCAUUAAAAUGUAACACAAUUGAUGGUAUAUUUUUUAAAGAAUAAUCAAAGAAUAAAGAAUAUGUCCGUGAGCUUAAAAAACUAAUAAAAAACAUAACACUAAGGUAUAUUUUCAUAAAAAAUAUAAAUAAAUAAAAACUGAAGGUAUAUUGUUGCGUUGGGUCAAUUUUUUGUAAGGCAUAUUGUAUAAAAAAAAUAACAACGAAAGUCAUAGAGUAAAAAAUAACACUAAUAGUAUAUUGUUCCUUAAAAAAAACUAUUAGUAUAUUGUUCUGUAAAAAAAAAAAAUGGUAUAUUGUAUAUAGAGAAUUACAAAGAAAGCUGGUUGGUGUAUUUAUUAACAAGGGCUAGUAAUAUUUUCUAAAAAAAAAAUAGACAGUGGUAUUUAUUAUGGAGCUAUAUUAUAAUAAAUUGUAGUGGGUAAAACUAGAAUUUAGAUGAAAUAAUAAGGGUAAAAGUGGAAGAAAAAGUGAGAAGCUAUAAGCUAUAAGCUCAAACGCUACUUGGAAUAGCCUCUGAAAAAUAGCUUAUAAGCUCAUGAAAUAAGCUAUAAGCUCAUGGUGAAAAAGUGUUACCAAACAGAGCUUUAUUUGUCAAACGAGCUUAUAACCUAUAAGCUAUAAGCUAAUUUAGGUGUCUUACCAAACAGUGCUUAGAGUUUUCUUUGAUUGUAUUUAUCCCAUCCAUUUGAAAAAAGCCGGUAUUUCCGUCUCUAAGUAUAAGACUUAUUUGAGAAAUAUUUUUUGUCUCUUUUUAUAAAACUCUUUGAUAUUUCGAAGUAUAUUAAUUAAUUAUUUAUCAAUAUACCCCUAUUUAUUUUCUAUCUUUUUCUUCAAUCAACAUUAAAUACUAUGUUCAAAACAUACAAUAAUCAUCUCUCUUAAAGCAUAAAAUUAUAAAAACAAUAUUAAUUACAAACAAAUUUAUUGCCUUUUUCAAUUUUCUUAAUUCCUGUAUUUUUUUUAAAAUUAUUUAUCAGACUCUUUUUAACACUUUUUUACUAAUUUAAAUUUGUAUAGGUUCCAUCAAUUUAUAUGAGACCCACAUCAUUCAUAGGAACCUCUGAAUUUUGACCAAUUAAAAAAGUGAUUUAGACAGUGUAGUGCUGACAUAACUUCUUGAUUCUCUUAUCAAGAAUUUUUUUAUAGUGAGGACCAAUGACAUCCCAAAUUUACCUCAUAUCAUUAAAACUCUAUUACAUUUAUUUAUAAAUAAAACGACUAAAUACAGAAAGAUAUAUUGGGGGACUAGGUCAAUGCCCCCCGAAAAUAAAAAAGAGAGUCUAGAGAGCUGCCUAAUAAAAAUCUCAGGGUUAAAUGCACUUUUAUCCCGAUGUCAUUUGAGCGAAUUUCAAUUUCCCUCAUGUUAAAAGAAAUCCAACCUUAUAAUUUAAUAAUUAUUUUGUUUUAGACUUUAAUGACAUCAAAUUUUAAAAUUAAAUGUACUUUCACCCCUGCCAUUUGAAAGAAUUUUGCUUUACCCAAAGCAAUAUGAUCUAUUUUGUAAAGUCGGAUUUCACAAAGGUAUAAAAGAAAAAAUAUAUUUAAAUUACAAGGUUCAAAUAAAAAAUUUUAUUUGCAACUAUGGAGGCUCAAAUGACAGCACUUGUUGGCUACAUUAAAGCGAAGGAAGGUGGUUCACUGCCUCCAGAGUUAGCUGCUGCCUUAUUUCCCAAUGAUACACAAUAGGUAUAACAACUACUCAAUGCAUUUAUGAUUUUGUGCAUGUGUCUUUCUGGAGUAGUACCGGCGCUUCAUUAAGUUUUGGAAGCAUUGAUAUUAUUUGAUGAUAUUUUACAAAAUGGAUCUGAAUGCUAUUGGGCUAAUGAAAUCAAUACUGCUAAUUUAUUUUUUAUCAAUUAAAUGCAUUUCUCUAAGUUUUUCAUCAUCAAUCUUUAUAUUCAUCAAUUAUGAAAAAUUGAUUUUGGAUAAUACUGUCUUUCAAGCUUUUAUUUUGAUAAUAACUUUUACUUUGCUUAGGUUCUUGAAUUGGCAAUAAUAUCUUGCUUAAUAUAUAGGAGUUAACAAUUAUAAUACUUUUUACAGGCAUCAAACGUAGGAAGUGAAUCUCCAACACCCAAUGACAUAACUAGAUCAUCAGAUGAAAGCAACGCAAGUGGAGCAUGAGAGUCCUAAUUUUAGUGACAUCAGUUGUCUAGUCAUUUUUAUGUUUUGAAACUUGUUAUUUUGAGAAUAGCUAAAGAUGGUGGCAAUGGUUUGUGUAACUUUAUGUUUGGAGACUUGUUUAUAUUUGAGACUUAUUUUAGAUAUUUGUAUCAAACUCCACUUGAGUUGAAUUAUAAAUAUAUCAAUGACAAUGUUUAAAAUUUGUUUGUCCUUUAAUUUUGUUCAAAAAAUAGAAAUGUACAAUUAUAUAUUCCUAUGAAAUAAUAAUAUUAUAAGUAAAAUAAUUUCAAUUUUUUUGAGCAUUGUGGCAUUUUAUAUGUCAAAUGUGGCAGCUCAAUGAUUAAAUAUCAGAAGUAAAUUCUGGCAGUUGGACAUGCCACUACAUGCAUAGGUCUCAGGAGUACUUUCUGGCGGUUAAAACCGUCGGUACUUUCUGCAUGUUACGGCGGUCAAAAAUGCCAGAAACACCUAUUGACUUUGUCACAAUUAUGUAAAUAAUGGCGUUUGAAACUGCCACUAUAUACAAUUAAAUAACCGCCACUUUAAGCAAGUAUAAAACGGCGGACAACAUUGCGGCUACGUAAAAACUGCCGCUUUUAACAUUGUGGCAGACAAAAUUUCGGCAGUUUUUAAAACGCCAGAAUUGUGCAUAGUGGCGGCUAAAACCGCCGGAACAUACAUUUUUUAGCCACCGGAAAACACGCGUUUUUUUGUAGUGAAAAAAUAAAAAAAAUUAAAGGGAGAUGAGCGAGAAUUCGUUCAAAUGACGGAGGUCAAAAAUACAUUUAACCCAAAUUAAUCUUAUAAGAAAAAAUCAAUGGAAUAAAACCUAAUGAUGGAAAAAAAAUGAGUGCAAUUCUAUAACACAACUAGCACCAAUACCAAACUCAAAAUAAAAGCAAUAAGUUACCAUCUAAACACACAAUUAGGAAGAGAUGGUUUAUUUCUAGAGAAGUAUUCUUUGAUCCAGUGAAAAGAGUUUUUUUAGAAGAUGAUUGUUUAAUCUCACAAAUGUUGGGUUUAAGGAGGACAACAUUUAAUCCGUCACAAAGUUAACUUAUUCUUAGUAAAUUAUGUUUCAAAGCAUCAACAUAUUACACAUCUUAUAUUUUUGCAGAAUAAUGCUUACCUUUCUUCUUCAUCUUGAUCCUGUUGUGGAGCUUCAAGAUCAUAUGAUGUUGCUAACACAUGCUUCUUCUUAAAGACAAGUUUCUUCUACUUAUUUUGAGGGCAUUAAUUUUUGUAGUUCCCUAGCUUGUUGUAUCCAUAUCACAUUACUCGACUCUUGCCAGUUUCACCUUUGGAUCCAUCUUUCCUGAAGGGAAAUCUCUUAUUGAUUUGAUAUUUUCUUUUCAGCAUUAUUUUUUAGAUUUUCCUUGAGAUAAAACCUAGCUUCUCUUAUGAUUCUUCUUCUUAACAGAGUUAUUGAUAUUUACGAUUCUUCAAUGAGUGUAGAAUCAUCAGUUAUAUCUUAAUAACUCGCAAAAUAUAUAUUUGAAAGCAAUCAUUUUGCCUAUCUUGAUUAUGAUUGGUCGGUACUCUUGAAGUAAAAGUUCAUGAGCUCUCAGAGUUUCAUUCAACUCAUCCAUUUACAUAUCUUUAGAUUGAGUUAUCAUAGUCACCACAGGUCUCCAAGAACUAGGAAGACUCCUUAUAUUAUUUUAUUUUCCAAGAACUAGGGUCGCACAUAAACACAUAAUUUAUUUAUGAUUUUUUUAAGAACUUUUCCAAAGUUACGAUUUUGGCCUCCUAAAAAAAAUUACAAAACCGCCCCCAAGUUUUGCAUUUGUGGCAGUUUUGGCCCCCAAGACCAAUUUUGAUUCGGUCUAUCCUGACGUGGCACCCUAAGUGAGGUGCCACGUGUUAUUUUAUUUUAUUUUAUUUUUAUCAAAAAUUGAUCUUGGGGCAGUUUUGUAGUUUUUUUUCUUAAGGAGCCAAAAUCGCAACUUCGUAAAAGUUAGGGGACAAAAAUUACUAUUUUGCAAACUAUUGGUUUUGUUUGGGUGAGUCUUAAAAUUAAAGCAAUUUCCAUGUAUCAUUAUACAGGAAACUUAAUAUGUGAAAUUGAAGCAAGGUUAAUUGUCUUGUAUAAUUAGAUGUGGAAUUAUCACAAAUAAGAAAUUAAAGAGAAAUAUCAUAACAAAUAAAUAUGACUAAUAAUAAAGUAAAAUGAAGCACAAGAAAUUUAUCGAAUUUGGUCGUCGACAUAACUCCAUCAAAACCUUCACAAAUCAAAUUAGAGGAAACCUGCUAAACAAAACACUGUUAUGUAACCUGAUGCGUGACUUAGUCACUGUCCUUGAGGAUUUUAUCCGCCUCAUAAACGCAUAUCCUCCCAAGAUACAACAAGUUCUUCUCUGGUAUGAAUCAAAACCGGAGGUGACAGAACAGUUCAAAUUUAUCUCACAGAUAUCAAGAGAUGUAACCUGUAAACUCAAUAUUUUGGAUGAGAGAAAAUAAUUUGAGUAUAGAUAAAUAAGAAGUGAGGGAGUAUAUAUGUGUACUAUAUGCAGGUUGAUAAUUUUUCUGUAUUACUGUAACACCCCGUUUUUCCAACAUAAAAAUUUCAACAAUAAUCAGAGUAACACGUCACAAACGGGAUAUCACAUUUCUCAAAAAUCAUAAAUAGAUAGAUAACAAAUUAUCCUUCGACAAAAUUCUUCGAACAUCGCAGCGGAAUUAGUUUCAUCAUCAAAAAUAGUUUUGGCACGCAGGCCUCAUCAAGAUGUCUCAUAAAUCAGUUAAACUACUUAAUCAUAAAAGCAUAGUCAAAUACAUAAAGGAAUAUAAGCAUGCAAUUCAAGAGACCCCAUCCUGUUACGUAUCAGAGCAACCUAAUCGAAUCAGUGAGGAAUAAGCCACUCACGACAGCAACACAGCACUCUAAGCUCGAUCACAUAAGCAUAAGCACAAAACAAUAAUAUUAAUCAAUAUAAUUCAACAAUCGUAAUUAACAACAUAAAUCUUCAACAUAAGCAUCUUAAACAUCAUAGCAUCAUAGAUAAUAAUAUAUCAUGUAAUCACUUCAUUAAAGCAUCAUAAAUUUCAUAGCAUCUUAACAUCUUUCAUCAUUGGCUCGACUAUGCGACUAUGCAACUUAAGACCUCUUAUAUGCUUGUGGUACCAAUUUAGGGCAUGAGCCCCCAUCGCUAUUUGAGUAUUAAUAUACCUCCAGGGCAUAAGCCCCCAUCGCUAUUGAGCUAAAGCUCCAUCGUGUUGAGUACAAAGCUCCAGGGCAUGAGCCCCCAACAAAUCUAUGCUAAUGCAUGGACUCAAUCUCUUAAACAUCACAAUCAUCAUCUCUUAUUUAUCCAAUAAUUUAGAGGUUCAACAUCAUCUUGAUCGACUUAGACCGACUCAUGCAGCUUGGUUAAAUAACAAUAGCAGCAUAGGCAGAUUACAACAACAGUAUGACAUCAUAUAACGAUAUCAAAUAAAACAGCAGCAUCUCAAUCAUUCAUUCAUAGUUCAAGUAAUGCAAUUAACAUUAUAUUCAACACUAACAUCUCAUAACAGCUUCACAGAUUGCAGUUAACUUCUUAUAUAUGUCUCAUUACUACCCAAGGGUCCAUCCCUAAUCAAAUCAUGCGACACAGAUCACAUUUUCCUUACUUGCACUCAGUUCUGGAAGUGCUCGCGAGGCGAAAGCAUCUGCUCGCCAUGGCGAGUACAAGCCAGAUUCCCAACAAUGGUUGUUCUAGGUUAAACCAGGUUCAAUCUCAUUCUAAGUUAUCAUUUAAUCUUUAAUAAGCAUCUUCAGGCACUCAAAAAUAUCUAGGGUUCAACUCAAAAGUCAAAAUUUCGAAAUCAAGGUUGCUCACUGGUUGAGCUCGCUAGGCGAGUACAGUUGUUCGCUGUGGCGAGUUGCGUCGUGCAACUCGCGAGGUGAGGGAAAUUGGUUUGCGUGGCGAGCGAUGAACUUCAUCCCUCGCGAGGCGAGGAUCAUCGUUCGCGAGGGCGAGCGAUGAAUAUAGGCUCGGGCAGAAGUGCAGUUUUUACGAAAAUUCAUCAACUCUCAUGGUUUUAAGCCUAAUUUCGAUCACAGAAUUCAUCUUAGUCAUUAUCUAGGGUCUAAGGACGGUUUAUACAUCAAUCUAACAACUUAUCAUCAUUGGAUCAUCAAUUUCAUCUAUUAACCCUAAUUUCAUAAAUUUCUUAAUUCAAUUCUAACUUGUUAACUUGAUUAUCAGAAUUACAUGGAUUAAUAAAACUGAAUCGUUAGUCCCACCCUUACCUUAAUUUGAAGAAAUCGCAGCCCUCCUCUUGCUUCUCCCUUCUUUUGCUUUUUCUCCCUUUUUCCAAAAUUUGAUCGUACGUACAUUGUUUUUUCUAAAACUAGGUUUCCCUUAAAUAUCUCCUCCAAUUAUCUUAUCUUAUCUCUCUUUCUCCCCCAAAAAUCUCUAAAAUCUCAAAACAGCCCCUAACUAAAUAUUUUAUUUUAUUUUCAAAUCUUAUUUUAUUAAACAACAAAAUAAGUCUCAUCUCCUCAUAAAAAUCGUCACAUCACAUAAAUCAUCUAGAAUCAUCAUAAAUCAUCAUAUAUCACACAUAUAUUAUAUAAAUAUAAUAUAACUCAUCUAGACUCAAUUAAAUAAUUAAUUAAUUAAAAGUGGGCGUUACAGUUACACCAUCAUUUGUUCCAUACGUAUUGUAUAUAUAUGGCAGGCAAAGUCAAUUCUCAUAGGCUAAGAAGAAACGGUUAACGAAGUAGGCACUAACCUUUGACUAACCAUAAUAAUAGGAACAUGUGGUCAAAAUGAAUAAAAUGAGUAUCUUAGUCAUGGAGAUAUUUAAGGGGAUAUUGGAACCAAUCAAUAAAUAGAAAUAAAGUAAUAAUUCUAAUUUAAUUUUUUUUUUCUAGAUAUUAGAAAAACUUUUGAAAUAUUUAAUAACUCAAAAAUACAACAAUCCCCUGUAACACCUCGUUAUCCCAACAACGUAAUUAAUAAAUAUAAUCAGAGUUAAUCAACUAACGGAAUGUCACACUGCUUUUCAAAAAUUCUUAAAUAGAGUAAAAUGCUAUUUAUUAAACUUCAACAACAUAGCAACUAAUAUAUUGCAGCGGAAAAUUCAUAAUUCUUCAUUAAACAACUUCCAACAAUUCUUGGCACAUGGCCUCAACAAAAUAUCCUCAAAAUUAAAUUCAACAUCAACAGGGUCAUAAUUGAUACAUAAAGGAUGAUAAAAUACAACGACAUAUAUAUAAUCUCCAUCCCGUUACGUAUCAGAGCCCUACGACACAUGUGAGGGAAGUCCACUCACAACAGCAGUGAAAAUCAACUACUCUGGAUCACCUGCAAGUUACUCAUACGAAGGACAACGUUUCCAAGUAGAAAGAGUGAGAUUCACAACAAUAAUAGAUAUAUAAUUCAUCAAUUGAAUUUAACAAUUUAAAUAGCAACAAUAUUUCAUUAUAUAUAUAUAUAUAUAUAUAUAUAUAUAUAUUUCAUAAAUCAACAACAUUAUCAACUUCUUGCAAUUUCACCCAACAACAACUACUACUCAACCAACAACAACGACAUAUACAACGACACGACAACAAUGCUACGACUCAACAACAAUGCAACAAUGCACAUGCAUGUGGUACCAACGAGCAUUUGAAUGAACGAGUAUUCACAGGGCAUAAGCCCUCAACAGUUGGAAUGAUUAAGCAUUCCCAGGGCAUGAGCCCUCAACGAUUUGAACGACAAGGCGUUCACAGGGCAUAAGCCCUCAAUAAUUAUGAGUAUGCAAUGGACUCAAUUUAGUGUAUAUCAACAUACAACUCUCCUACAACGACAACAACAUGAACAACAACAUCUAUUGCACAGCAAUUCAUAUAUAAAUAUGACUUAUGCAUCAACAUGAUCAACUAGCAACACUACAACACUCAAUAUUGAAAUUCAACAACUUGUAUAAUUUAUUUUCAUACAAUUAUACUUAAAUACACAAUCAACAAUCCUUCAUAUACAAAUCAGCAACUCAGAUAAAAUAUUAUAAUUAAUCAGGAUUAUUAAUAUACCCAAGAUUCCAGCCCAACCGUAUACCAAAUUGCAAAAGCGGCUCUCAGCUACUGAGCAACUCGCGAGGCGAGUGCAUUUGCUCGCUAUGGCGAACUCAAGAAAUGAGCUACUCGCUAUGGCGAGUACGUGGCGAACAAGAAAAAUGGUGCUCUCGGGAGUUUUGACAUUUUUCUCACUAAAUCUUCAUUUUUAAGCUCCCUAAUCAUCUUUUUAAUCUGAAAUUUGUCACAGUCCUCUCUAAAAACACCCAUGUACUCAAAACCAUUCAACUUACGUCUUAUAAAAACAUUUUAAAAAUCAUGAUUCCUCACUCAGGUACUCGCUACGGCGAGUGAUCUUGCUCCCGAGGCGAGCGAUGAAAAGGCUUGCUCGCGAGGCGACGAGUCAGCUUACUCGUCAUGGCGAGUUGCGUCAGAUCUGACUACGGGAAUUCUGCAGUUUUUCACAAUAAAUCCCAAUUUUCCCCAAUUCAAUCCCCAAAACAGAUUGCAAAAGUGUUAUAAGUUUCUGCCUACGACUUGAACACAAUCUAUCACUAAUGCCAUGAAUUUUACACUAUUUAAUUCAAAAAUCAUACUCAAAACCUAACUCCCAAUUCCCAAUUUCAACUAGAACCUUGCUAAACCAAAAUCAGAGUUGUAUAACCAUUACCAUUGAGAGUUAGUCUCACCCUUACCUUGAUUUUGAUGAACAAAGCUCUCCAAAAAUCAGAUUCUCCCCUCUUGGCUCUUCUCUUGGUUUUUCUCCCAAAAACUUGCUUGUACGUAAAAACUGUUUUUCUGACUUCUCCAACUUCUUACUUAACUCCCCCUUAAUUCUAAUUAACUCCCACUUAAUUCCUUUAAUUAAUAAUUAAACCCCAAAACUCCAAUAAAUUAUAAUUCCCACUUAUUCUAUUAAAUAAUAAAAAAAUAACCAUUUAAUAAAACACACCACAACAUAAAAUCAACAUAAAUUAUUUAAAAUCAUAUAAAAGUCUCUAAAUCAACUAAAAAUAAUUAAAUAACAACUAGGGCGUUACAUCCCCCACAUAUUUCAAAAGUUUAAAUGAAAAUUAUUUAAAGACUUUCUGGGGUAACAUGUGGAUGUGAUGCAUCAAACUGGUGUAGCAAGCUAUAUGAACCAGUCCUAGAAUGGUAAACUUAACACACAGUCAAUUUGAUGUAGCACGCUAUAUGAACCAAAAACACUUGUGUAUGUUAGAGGUCAAUAUCCUGCAUCACACCCCCACAAUUCUUGUUGCUACGCGGUUGUGCGCUAAUAGGCCAUGCGUGUGCGUAAAUUUGGAAAGACUAAUAUACAUCACAACCAGCCUUUAAAAUUAACCAUAAACCCACACAUUGGGUAAAUCAAACAUCAAUGUAUUAUUUUAACACAAUGGAUAAUCCACAAUAUGUCACAAAUAAUUUAAUAUGAAUCUCAAUAUGUAUCUCAUGAGUUUAACAAGUGCCACAAAAAUAUAUUCAGAUCUACUUAGAUUAUUUCUAAGCGACAACAUCUCUCUUACACUUGUUUUACUAAUGCAUAUCACAUAUUUAGCUUCAUGAGCUUCUUAAAUCAAGUUUACACAUGCAGGCACGGAAUCAAUGUGAGGGCAAUGGGGUCAAGUGACCCCACUUGCCUCCUCUUGUGUAUUGUAUUUUUAAUCUAAAAUUAAUUUUUUUUUAGGAUUAACCAAAAAUUAAAUAUAUGUCUAGUUUGAUCCCCUUUAUAAAGUAUUAUUGUACUCACAUAGUCUACUUAUUACACUACAAAAAAUUACAAAACUAAGAAGGAUCUUAGAGCAUAUCGUUGGCAAGACCAUAAAACUACUAUUAUAAUAUAAACUAUUUUUAUAUUUCACUACUAGAAAAUGCAAAAUUAGCGAGGGAAAUUAGUGCCGGAAAAAAUGAAAUUCCUCACAAAUUCCUUGGUCGCAAAAUUUAGUGACGGAAUUAGAGAGGAAUUUUACGUUUUCCCUCACUAAAUUUAGUUUUUUUAGCAGUGUUUACUGAAAAAGAUUGUGACUGGCGCUACGUUAGUGGUGAAAAAAAUAAUUAAUUAUGAUUAUAUUUUUUAUUCUCUGCUAGAAAUGGAUAAAUAUUUUUAAAAAAAUCAACAUUUUAGGGCAAUUAUAAAUAUAACUUGUAUAAUUUUCGCAAGCUUACACGUUUAUAAAGUUUUAUAUAAAUUUUUAUGAUAUAACUUGACCCCACUUAUUAAAAUUUUUGGAUCCGUCACUGUACAUGCAUAGCCCCCUCAUUCAGAAAGUUUCAUAUCGACCGAAACAACAAUUUGUCAUAUAAAGAAUAAAUAGCAUAGAUAUUGUUGUUUUGGAAUUUAAAAAUUACGACAGAGCUUUGAAACUAUUACCGGGGUGAGUCACGACCAGGUCGCUUUCUUUAAGACGUUUCGCGGCACUACCUAAAUUGUGUGCAAGGUAGACUAGCAACCGCGUCAUCUCCAGGAUAAAACAGCCCAGAUUCUAUCUGUACGAUUAAAGGCUGCACUGCCAGUAAUCGCUCGAGAAUAACACCUCAAUAUGGUUUCGAAAAACCACUCUAAUAUGGUACCAGACCACUCGAGAAACCAAAGAAGGAGGAAGAAAAGAAUGGUUCAUCAACACAAACCGAGGGAGAUGAGAAGGGGAGAAAACCAAAGAAGAGGAUUCAAUUCUCAGUUUUGGAGUGAAGAAUGCAAAUCCCGAGCUCUCUAUUUAUAGAGGGGAUUUGACCUCGUUUUCUCCGCCGACCCGGUUCGCGACCCAGCAACGGUAACCCACGACGCAGAAACGUGGAGCUGAAGCUUGCGCGUGUGGAAAACGUGUGAGACUUGGUCUCCGUGUGCGGGAAUCUCGGAGCAAAAAAAUAAUAUUAUUUUUUCAUUUUUCUGAGCACCAAAAAAUAUAUUUCUUUAAAGCCAAGCCCAAGCCCCCUUGGAAGUGAUAUCUCACAUAUAUAAACACUACUACAAUGUGUAAUCUACUCAAUGUGGGACAUAAAAUUUUCAAUUCACACUUUACACUAGUUUCUCCAUUCUUGUGUUUACAUUCCAUAGGCUCCACAAACCAACUAGUAUACUUCAAAUUUUUUCCAUUAUACACUAAUGUUCCAACAUAUAUGAUAGAAGAGAUUUGAACUACACAUGUAACGUAAUGGCACAAGAAGCAUCCAAUGAUAGAUAACAGGGUGAAAUCAAAAGCAAAAGUAUAAAACACAUAUGUUAUAAACACCUCUUUAAGAGAAAAACAUUUGAUUAUCAUGCGAUUUACAGUAACGCUUUUACACAGAAUAUUAUUUAGCCCAUAAUAAUAUUAAAAUAUCAAAAAUCGUCCAAGUGUAAACAAUAUUGUUUACAAUAUUGUUCAGAGGCAUAAAGAAAUCUAACAUUAGAAUUCCAAAUGGUACAAGUACACACCGGCUCACAACCGCUUAAACCUGAACCCAAAUAUCAUAUUCAUGCAUCAUUAAUUAAAGGCUUAAAUAUCAUUUUCAUCCCAGUAAUUUGGGCCCGUUUUGAUUUUCGUCCCUGUAAAAAAAAAAAAGUUUGAAAAACAUCCUUAUAAAAAAAAAAUUUGUUUGAAAAAGGUCCCUGGUCCCACAUUUUUGAUUAUGUGGCAUGGGUUUUGCCACAUGGCAGCCACGUAAUUAAAAAAUUAAAAUUACUUUUAAAUUUUGAAAAUUAUUUUUUUUAAUUAAAAAAAUAUGAAAAUAAAUUCAAAAAUCAUUUAAAAAAAUCGAAAAAAACUGUUAAAAUUAAAUUUUCGACCAUUAAUUUUUUUUAAUUUGAAAAUUAUAUAUUUUUUUCAUAUUUUAAAAAAUAAAAUAAAAAAAUCAUUUCAUUAUUUUUUUCAGAAAUUUCAGAUUUUAUAAUUUUUAAAAAAACUAUAUUUUUUUGAAAAUUAUAUGAUAAAAAUAAUUUCAGAAAAUAAUUUUAAUUUUUUUUAUAUUUUUAAAUUUUAAAAACAAUUUUUAGAAUUUAAAAAUUAUUUUUAAAAAUUUAAUAUUAUGUGGCAUGCCACAUCAGCGCCACGUGGCAAAAGUUGCACAGUCAGCAACUGCCACGUGGCAAAAACCAUGCCACAUCAUCAAAAAUGUGGGGCCAGAGGCCUUUUUCAAACAAAUUUUUUUUUACUGGGAUGUAAUUCAAAGUUUUUUUUUACAUGGACGAGUAUAUGUGUACUAUAUGCAGAUUGAUAAUUUUUCUGUGUUACACCAUCAUUUGUUCCAUAUGUAUUGAAUAUAUAUGGCAGGUAAAGUCAAUUCUCAUAGGCUAACAAGAAACGGUUACUGAAGUAAGCACUAGCCUUUGACCAGCCAUAAUAAUAGGACCAUGUGAUCAAAAUGAAUAAAAUGAAUAUCUCUUAAUAAUGAUGAGUCAUGGAGAUAUUUAAUGGGAUAUUGGAACCAGUUAAUAUAUAGAAAUAAAGUAAUAAUUUUAAUUGAAAAAUGUUAUGUAAAGCGAAUUAAACUUCCCGAAUUUAUCCCCAUUUAUAUAUAUGUUUGUACCGCAUGACACCAUUGCCACCUGAAUUCCACUAAUUUAGCCUUUUAUUUAGUUUGAUCAUUAUAACUAGGAAUCACUCUUCGUGAGUGCCUCGUGAGAAUUUUAUUCGCGAUGAAUAGCAUCGCUAAUUCUAAUUUAAAUUGUUUUAUAGUAAUAAGAAAACUUUUGAAAUAUUUAAUAACUCAAAAAUACAACAAAUUGUUGCCCUCUAUCAAUCAAAUAACCUAAAAACAUUACUGAUAGAUAUUUGGCAAGUGAACCAAAUUCAAUUGAAGUAAUAAAAAAUUCGUUUCCACGAGGACUGUAUUAACUUCUACUUAGCAAUUUCAUUAUCAAAAAGGGGUGGGGUUUAGUAUGGGAAAGGAAAGUUGUUUCCCAACAUAGGAAAGUAAAUUUUAGACCACUAGAUCAAUUAGAGAACACAAUUUUAUCAUGGACUUUCAACACUUAAUUUUUUUUUUUACAACCUAAAAAUAAAACUUUUUUUUUGUUGAAAAAGGGGAAAAAAUGGAGGAAACUGCGAUUAACAUCAACUAAAUUUUUCUACAUCAUCAACAAUAUAAAAACAAGAACAACAUUCAUCAUCAUAUGAAGCCUAUUACUCAAUGUCCUUCCAUCCCUACUAGCCCACCACCAGCAACAAGCUUACAAAAUUUCCUUAAACUAAAAAACGUGACUCACCCACCACCACCAUCACUAUCAAUUCUUAAUCUUCAAUCAUCUUGGAACAUAUGAGAUAUUUUGUAGUCAUGGGUUUGAAAGGAUUUUUAAGAAAAUUCUUUAUGUGAUGAUGAAUGUUGUUGUUUCCCACAAUAGGCAAUGAGAAAGGCUUUGGUUACCUAAACUGAAUCUGUUGCCAAUUCCAUCUGGGCACUGCCCCUCCCAUUGCCGUACAUAAAUAUAGAAAAAUCCACAACCUUCAAGAUCUGAUUUUGUUUAUUUGAGUUGUUUGAUUUUAAUUUGAUUUAUGGGUUAUAGGUGAUGAAGAUUUUGAAGAGUUUUUAAUUUCUGUAAUUGAAUUGUUGAGUUUUAAUUCUGAGUUGAAGAUUGAAUGUGACAUGGCAUUGAGGAGAGAUAGUAGAGGAAGAUGAUGGAAAAAUAAUCUAACGUUGACAGUGCAUGAUAAGAUGGUGUUCUUUACUUGAUCUGAUGGUUAAAAUUAGCUUUCCCAUGGUGGGAAACAACUUCCCUUUCCCAUGCUAAACUCCACGUCAAAAAGGAUGUGUAAAAUUUAUAUUAGUGCCCUAGACAGUUGAGUUGAUUUUGUAACAUAAACAAAAUUAAAAAUAGUAAAAGAUUGGUUUUAGAAAAUCUGAGAGAAGAAUGGUUAAGUCUUUCGAAUCCUCCGACGCUCUCCUAUGAUAAUUUGCACUCCUAAUUCAAUCAAUGAUUAUUUAGUUUCACGACAGAUUAACUUAGUAAUUCUACCCAAUCUCUUGACCUAGAAUUCUCCCCGCAAGUGACAACCCCUUAAUCUCUUAAGUGAAUUCGAAACCGUUGGAGGUAUUAAAAGAACGUUAAUCCCUAUGUCAUAACCUAAUAAUGAUGAUCUAUCUCUAGCUUGAUUACUUAGGUUAAACCUAUUACCUAGUUCAGAGUUAAAAGCCAGGGUUAGUGGUCAUUCAAUUUCUAUGAUCAAUAUGCAUAUUCAUAAAGCUAGGGUUAAUAGUCAAUGAUAAACAUACAUAAAGCAUUAAACACAAGGUAAUAUGAAUAAAGACUAAACUUUCAUUGAUGUUCAAAGGAGUUCAACAAAUUAGGGUUCCGUAGGAUUACAUCAGAUUUAUCUCAGGAAUUAACCACAAAAUUAGUUACUCAUAGCUAAAGUAUAAGCUAACUAACAUAAGAAAAAGGAUUCAUACAUGUAAAGGAUGAUUGACUCUUAGUUUUGAUGGUUUCCCACCAGAUCUCCAAGUCUCUGCUCCAAAAUAUGCCUUUAGGUCUCCAAAUUCGUCAACCCCUAAUCUGAAAACGCCUCUUUAUAUUUAUAAGCAAGUCAAAAUCGGCCACCGUGCACCAAAAUCGGUGGCCGAUUUCAACAGAACGCGUGCCCAAAAAGUACCAAAUCGAUGGCCGAUUUUUCUUAAUCGGUGGCCGAUUUUUCACAAGGCCAAAGCUCAAAAUUGUAGCAAAAAUCGGUGGCCGAUUUCCAAUCUUGAAAACUUCAAUUUCUUCUUCUUUUGUAGCUUGCAACUCCAUGAAUUACAAUAAAUAACCCCUAAAAUUACAUGAAAAAUGUCUACUAAAAGAGUAAUGACAGAAUGUCAUCAAUUACUACAUCCAUUCACAGAAUAUUGUUUUUUUUUUUCAAGAAAUAUUCACAGAAUAUUGUUACAUUGAAGCGACGGAGUGGAGUGGCAGCCUGCCAUGGAAUCAACGUCAGCCAGCGGCGGCGAGGGUUCCCCCACACGGGUUUAUAGGUCUUGCUCUGUCUUAAAAUUUUCACACUUAUUAUUGCGGUAGUUACUUUUUUGUUUUGCUCAUUUCUUCCUUCUUCUUUUCUUCAUAUUUUUUAUUUGUAUAUUUGUUAAUUUGUUAGUGAAUGUUGCUUUUAGAAGCAAACGUUAUCGAUUAUUCAUAUUCCGCAUGUCUUUGAACAGAGGCUUUCUGAUUGUUGUUCUGAAUUUUGAAUUGGUCGAUAAUAACAUGUUUUUGUGGAUGUUAGGUUUUAUCAAUUUGUUGAGAUAUUUUGCUUGUUAGGGAACACCUCUUCACUAUUAUUAAUGAUCCUUUAACGUAUACUCUUCAUUGUAUAUCAUAUUUUUUUCUUCUAGUUUUUUAGGAUCACUUUUAGUUUCACAAGUGCAAUUUCCUAACAGGUUUUAGACUUCCAUCAAUCAAAGGUAAUUCUUCUGAUGUAUGAGAUACUAACUUGCAAUAUUUGGUUGUCGUGUCGAUUUGCUUCGAUGCAUCCUUUACUAUUGUAUCCUUAUAUUUCAUUAUAGGCUAAACAUAGGCGGAAUUAAUGUCAAAUUCAAAUCCAUGUUGUCUUAAUUAUUUUGAUCAGUUUGUUGUAUUACAUCAAGUUCUGGUGCCUUAAACACUAUGGUCAUAACAUGGUUGAUUACGUUUUGUCUUCUUCAAACAUCAUGGCUAAAGUUCUCACAAUAUCCUUAUAUACUUGAGUUCAUUGCUUGUAUAUAUCCAAGUUGGCAAACAGAGACUAAGUCAUCAUCAUAUUUACUAAAAAUAAUACAAACAAAAUUUACAAAAGGUUUUGCCAUCGAUGUGUCCAAGAAAUGAAGCAAUCUCAAUAAUCUGCAAAGGAUUCUCAGUCGUACCAAAACCAAUGGCUCGAAAAACGAUGCGGCGAUUAUAAAAGAAUGAGAAUUCCAAAAAACAAAGACAUGAGCUAUCAGCGAGUUUUACUUCAAAAUAAGAUUCUCUAAUUGAUAUGUUUGAAAAUAACCGGUUAUCGUUAAAAUUACAACGAAAAAUCAACCAACCUUUACAUUCCCAGCCUUUUUCACAAUACUUCUUUUCGUGUUUGAUGCAUCACAUUUCACGGUGCUUGUUACGAUGCAAACACCAUGAAAUGCGAUGAAUCAAAGAUGGCAUUACAAGCAUCAAGAAUGUCUCUUCACCGACAUAACAAGUAUUGUAAAAUGCAAUGAAUCAAACACAAAGAAAGUAGUGAAGUGAAGUACAUACACAAAAAGAAGUAUUGUUAGAAAGGUUGGUCGAUUUAUUAUUUAAAUUUAACGAUAACUGAUUAUUUUCAAACCUAUCAAUUCGAGAAUUUGUUUUCAAAGCAAAACUCGUUGAUAGCUCAUGUUGGUUUUUUGGAUUAUCAUUCUAUUAUAACCACCACAUCACUUUUUGAUCCAUUGGGUUUUGGUACUACUGGGAAUAAUAGUUUACAGAUGACGGAGAUCGCUGCAUUUCAUGGGCACAUCAGUAGCAAAACCUCUUCUAAGUUUUUUUCGUGGCUUAUUUGUUAGUAAAUACGAUGAUCUCUUACCCUAUGUUUGCCAACUUGGAGACAAACAAUAGACUCAUAUAAGCUUUUAUUCGGACAUAGUGAGGGUUUUAGCCAUGAUGGGUCAAGAAACUUUGAAGGAAGAUAAAAAUUAUUUUUGUUCUUUACCGAUCAUAGCUAAAGCCCUCAAUAUGUCAGAAUAAAAACUUACUCGAGGUCGUUCUUUGUCUCCAAGUUGUCAAUAAAUAUUCAACAAUGCCAUAGUUGUUUAAGAGACGAGAGCUUGAUUUUCUUUUCUUAAACUCAUGGGUACCAAAGAAAGAACUUACAAACAUGAUACGAUAGGAAUGCCCUUAGUUGUACGGGAUUAGUACUUGUGGAGUAUGUUUUGGUUGGAUCUUGUAUGCUGCAAAAUAUUUGUUUUUGUCUAUGGCCUUGGCCAACGAAAUAAAAAUGCAACCCCCUUUUUUCUCGCGUUUUCUGUAUAAUACAACAAACUGAUCAAAUUAAUUAAGAGAAGAGAAUAACCGCUAAUUUUUGUGGCUUUGUGUAUGUGAGUUUACGAUGACUUUGCUAUUUCUUCUAUGUACUAAAAAAAAAAAAGAAUAUAUGCUCUACUGUUUUGUUUCUUGAUUUCUUGUUGCAUCAGGUAAGCAAUUAUUUUCAUAAAGUAAUCAAUAUACAAGUAGAGCUUCAUUUUCUAUACUUAUUCUUGCAUGAUUGUUUUGGGUGAAUUAGUGUUUAUGACAAGCUUCCAAAUGUAGUAAAUUUCACAGCUAAUCAUAAUUCUCCCUCAAUUUUAUCUCAAUUGUUUGGUAAUUUGUCAUUUAGACUGUAUAUUCAAUUCAAUUUUGGCUGAAUUAGUGUUUAUGACAAGCUUCCACAUGAUUUAGUAUUGUGUUGAGAUUUUGCUCAAAAUGAAUCGGGAUGAGAUAAGAAGCAUAUGUGUAAAUAAUGAAGCACCGAUACGGACACGGACACGACAUAGACAUUGACAUGCCGACACUGCUAAUAAUUUGAGAAAAUCACAUAAUUCGAUUGUAAUUAAUGUGUCCGUGUGUCGUGUCGGUGUCAGACAGAACACGUGUCCGUACUUCGUAGACAUCUAUUCUUGUUUCACGCCACAUCUGUGAAGCCUCGAUACUUCAAAAUGGAUGACGUAUCGUAUCCCCUGCGUAUCCUACACCGAUACCUGCCUGAUACUUCCCGAUACGUAUCAGAAGAGUAUCCGAAGAUUAAAUUUUAUUUUUUUAAAAAAUAAUUAUCCGAUACUUCCCGAUACGUAUCAGGAGAGUAUCCGAUAAUUAUCCUGCACCAAUACCUGCCUCAAUACUUCCCAAUUAAUGUUAGUUAAAAUAACUUAACUCUUGAGUAUAGUGCUUCUUUUUUGGAUCGAUAUAGUAUAGCACUAACAAUGUUCAUUUUGGAUAUAGUAUAACACCUAUGGUGCUCUUUUUGGGAUAUAUUGUGUAUGUAAUUGACUAAUCAUCACUCUCUUAAUCGUCACUAUUAUUUAUAUUUAUGUUGAUGUGCUACGAGCCUAUGACUGGUUUAUUUUGUUUGUUAAUAUAUUUGUAUAUUAAAAAAAUGGUUAUAAUUAUUAUAUUGUACAUUAAAUUUUAUAAUUUUUUAUUGACGUAUCCCAGCCGUAUCGUAUAUUAAUUUUUGAAAUUUUCUCGUAUCGACGUAUCGGUGCAGUAUUAUAUAUGUAUCGUAUCUUGUAUCCGGGCUUCAUAGCGUCUAAUUAAAACAUGACUAAAAUAGUCUGAUGAAGUAUUAGAGUAUAGCUUAUACGAAUAGGUUAUGUUUUUUUUUUUUUUGGUACAACGAAUAGGUUAUGUUAUUCUAGAUUACUUGGUCACUUUUGUACGCACAUUUUGUUACUCAUUUAGGUAUUAUUUCAGUUACAGGUCAGUUUGGGCAGUUUGUCAUGCACUGCUUCCAUGGCAUCUUAAACUCUUUAUGAAAUAAACUUUCUAUUAAAAUUUAAUCUGCUGUUAAAUUUGUAAUUUUAUAGUUUUUUGCAUCUUUUUUGCAGGAUAAGUUGUAAUGUUCAAUAAGAUUGUAUUUGAUGCAAUAAUAAUUGAGAUUUAUGUAUAUCUUCGAAGGUUAUAAAAUCAAUAAAUUAGUGAUUUUAAUACUAACCAGAUAUUACUAUAUUUGUACAUCUUUAAUAAUUGAAAUUUAAUUAUGUUUAAAUUAUAUAAUUCUAUUUUUAUUUUGAAAAAAUUAUAAUUGAAAACAUCAAAACUGAAGAUAUUAAAUUAUAAGUUAAUCAAAUAGUUAAAAGAAGAUUAAAAUGAAUUAAAAUAUAAAUAUCUCCAAAUGAAGAUUUUGGGAUUUUUUUUUUCAUACGGACUUACUAGUAAAACCAAAUUUAUUGACUACUGGGAGUUGCGACUAGGGGUGUGUGUGGUUCAGAAACAAUCGAUUAGGCCAACAAAUCAAACUAAAUUGAAAAUUAUUCGAUCUUUUUUGAUUUGGUUAAAUAAAUAAAAAAUUAUUCGAUCAUAUUUUAUUUGGUUAAGAAAUCAAAUGGAAGGAAACUAAACUGGACUGAUUCAGUUUUUGGUUUUCGGUUUUCAAUUUAAAAAUGAUAAUUUCUUUUUCCAGCCUUUUCUCUUCUCAUUCAUGGAUUAUAAAAUCCGAAAAAUGGAAGGUUGUCAGGGUGUUUUGACGUGUUUUAGAAGGCGUUUAACGAUCUCAUAUUAUAAAAUUUGAAACCUAUAAAACACAUGAGAAAAUAGAAGGGUGGAAAAAGAAACAAUCUUCAUAAAGUUUACUAGCCCACUUUGACUUUGCCCAAAUCCAACAUUUUAUCAACACGCUCACACCAAAAUAACAAACAAACAACAUUUGUACAAGUUCAUCAAGUUUACUAAGAUUAUGUUUUUCACAUUUUCCAAGUUUAUUAAGUUAACUUGUUUGUUUUUAAUAUUUUUUUAUGCUUUUGUCAAGUAAAUAUAUGUUUAUACAAUUUUCGUAAUUCUAUGUAAGUAAAAAAUUUAAAGGAUUUCUGCUAUAGUAAUUAUGAAUUGGUCUAUAGUAAUUAUGAAUUGGUUCAAUCCUUAAUUAAUAAUAUGUUGGUAAGAUUGAGCAAACAUUAUUUUUUUUAAUUGCAUUUUUAGGUGAAUUGAUCAAUGAAAUUGAACCAAACCGAAUUUAUCAGUUUAUUUUGGUUCGAUUUCACUUAUGAAAAAUGCCGAAAAUCAAUGUAGAUUUGAUCGUUUGAAUUUUUCUUUAGAAUCGAGCGAAACCAAACCAUUUCACCCAUCCGUGCGGCAUUUGCCUGCAAAAUUUCACAGAAAUAUUACUUGUACCGUUUGAUGGCGAAUAUCCUGAGAAACUUACUUGAGGAUUUCAAAAUCCGCUAAAUAUAAUUAUCUACGAAAGGAAAUGAGUUUCUUGCAUAAUUUUUACCCAAAUACGCAUGGUUUUUUUUUUUUUUUUGGUCAAGCCAAAUACGCAUGUUAUUGCACAUGAAAUUAACUAACUCCCAAAAGAUGUUGCUACGAUAGUUUUGGGAUUGUAUGAAUGAGAAGUAGAGACCUUGGUAUCAUAACACAAUCUCAAAAGAUAAGUAAGAUAGAAAAGAGAAGAGGAGAUUUCAAUAAAAAUAAGGAAGAAUGCAAUGCUAUUUAUAGCCACAAAAACAUUUAUAGCUAUCAAAGAAAACAUUUUAAAUGACUAAAAAUACAUUAACACGCACAUUGCUUGUAAUACUACCAGGGCCGUUCCUAUGAAUCCGGAGGCUCGGUUCUGUAAGUGAAAAGAGACCCGUAAUAAAAUAAAAACGUAUUUUUUUUUAAAGAAUAAUGUUCUAUUUAAAAUUUUUAAAAGAUAAAUACAAAGUGUCGUAUAUAUGCGAUACACUCAAAGGUGAAAAUCACUACCGCAUACAUGAGGAUCCAAUUCUAAUAGGCCUAAAACUAAACAACAGAAGAGGAAAAUGAAAUCAAAUCAGGAAAGAAGAAAAGGAAAGUUCGAUGCAGUGAUGGUGAUGGAACGCGUGGUAUCAGAGAGAAAGAGAAUAUGAAUUUUUUUUUAAUGAUGUAGUACUUAUAAUUUUUUUGAGGCCCAUUCCUUGGGGAAGCCCGGUUCCUUUGAGCUCCUUACACAUCCCAAGGUCCGGCCCUGAAUACCACCUUUCAUAUUUUGGAUUGGUUCACAUUAUAUAAUUUAGGUUUAAUAGUGCUUUUCACCCUGUAAUAUAGGUCAUUUUCGAUUUUCGCCCCUAUAAAAUUUUCGGUUUGAAUUGCAUCCUCGUAAAACUUUUUUUUUCCUAGAAAACAACCCUCCCCCAUCCAACUCAGCAAAUUCGCUUACGUGGCGCUGAUUUGGUUUUUUUUUUUUAAUUGGCCACGUGUAAAAAAUAUAUCCACAUCAGAUUUUAUUUUUAAAAUAUUUGAAAAUAAAUUUUAAAAAAUAAAAAAAUCCAAAAAAUAUUCAGUUUGUUUCCAAAAAUUAAAAAAAUCAAAAAUUUAUUUUUAAAAAAUUCAAAAAAAAUAUUAAGAUUUUUUUCGAAACAUAAAAAAACAAAAAAAUAGUCAUAUUUGUUUCCAAAAAAUUUUAAAAUCGAAAAAAAAAUUAGAUUUUUCUUUCAACAAAAAUUAGAAAAAAUCAGAAAAUGUAAUCAGAUUUUUUUUGAAAUUAAAAAUAUUUUAAAAAAUUCUGGAAUUUAAUUUUCAAAAUUACAAAAGAGGUCAGAUUUUUUUUUUUUGAAAAUAAAAAAUCUGAAUUUUUUUAAAAAACCUGUAUACAAAUAUAGAAAAAAAUCAGAUUUUUUAUUCAAAAAUUUUAUCCCACAAUUUUAAUAAAAUAUUGGGAAAAAAAUCAUUUCAUUCCACAAAUAUAAGAUUUAUAAUUUCUACCUCCUCUAAGGAAAAGCUUAAUUCUAGGAAAAAUGGAAUUUCCACGACUUUUUUAAAAAUUAAAUUUUUUUCCAGAAUUUUUUAAAAUCUUUUUAAUCGAAAAAAAUCUUAAUAGUUUUUUUUUCUAAUUUUUAAAAUUUUUGAAAAAAAAAAUCUAGUUUUUUUAUAUUUCGGAAAAAAUAUUAAUAUUUUUUCUGAAUUUUUUAAAUUUUUGGAAAAAAACAGAAUAUUUUUAUGAUUUUUUUUUAUUUUUUAAAAUUUAUUUUCAAAUGUUUUAAAAGUAAAAUCUGAUAUGGAAAUAUUUUUUUACACGUGGCCAAUUAAAAAUAAUAAAAAAUGAAAAAAAUGCCAAAUCAGCGUCACGUAAGCAAAUUUGCUGAGUUGGAUGGGGGAGGGGUGUUUUCUGAAAAAAAAAAAAAAGUUUUGCAAGAAUGCAAAUCAAACCGAAAAUGGCCUAUAUUACAGGGGUGAAAAGCAUUAUUAACCCUAUAAUUUAAAAUCAUUCCUUCCUGAGUUAUGAUACAUAGACAUCCUUAGGUGGCAAUACACCCUUUAACACCUACAAAAAAAUCUGACACGUGGCCACAUGGAUCCCGCACAAGCACACUUUCUCUUUUCUCUUCUCUUCUCUCUUCCUAAUGUAUGGGGUGUACUAGGGUGUAUGAGAAUAAAUGAUGUCUAUAUAACAUUUUCCUUCCUAAAUUGGUUUGGAUUUCAUACUAUAUAAUUUGAACCGGUCGAAUACUCUAGAUAUUUUAAUCAAUAGAACCGUUGUUAGAUGAACUCAAUCAAUCAAUUAAUUUUGAGAUGGAAUUAGUGGAACUACUCUUGAAGUUUAGUUAGAAACACACUAGCUACCAAAUUUGAAAGCAGGAUCCAGCAAAUAUUUCUUAAGGAAUAAAAGUAAGUGAGUGGCAAACCUUCCACAAACGGAACUCAACUUUGUCCUUUUGUCCCAUACCUUUGCUGUCCCAUACCUUUGCUGUUAUUGUCCCUUUCCUUAGCUGGCCAUACCCUGUCCCCGCGUAUCCUAUAAUGACCACACUACACUAAAAAAACUAAUCAAUUUGGUCAAACUUUGGCACCUAGCAUCACACACCAAACCCAUGAAUUUGGUUAUUGUAGGGGAGCCAUAAAUCAUUAAUUGUAAUAACAUAAUACAAACGCGAAAUAUAGCUGGCACCUCUCCCAUAAUUUGACUUCAUCAAUACUCACUCACUCCACCUCUUGUGACCUCUCUUUCUAUACACCUUCCUUUCCACAACUAUAUAAACCCAAAACCUAUCUUACCUAUGCAUCAAACAUUUCCCACAACAUCUAUAAUUUCUACUUCAUUGUUCUUUCUCACUCAAAACAAAACCCAAAUGGCAUCAUUUAACAAGAGUGCAAUCUUCAUUCUUUUUCUCACAAUUUCACUACUUCAAUUGAGUUCAGCUAGGAAACUCACUGAAUCAGACCAACAACUUAAAUUUCAAUACCACAAAGGCCCUCUUCUAACCGGUAAAAUUUCAGUAAACCUCAUUUGGUAUGGAAAAUUCAAACCAUCUCAACGAGCGAUUAUAACUGAUUUCAUAACCUCGUUAUCUUCUCCCAUAAAACCAACCACCGCAUCACAACCAUCAGUUGCCACGUGGUGGAAAUCAACUGAAAAAUAUUACCAACUCACUAACAACAAGAAAUCAGUUAACCUAGCUCUCUCACUAGGUUCUCAAAUUCUUGACGAGAAAUACUCUUUAGGAAAAUCUCUCACAACUAACCAAAUCCUUAAUCUCGCAUCAAAAGGACAACAACAAAACGCCAUCAACGUUGUCCUAACAGCUGCUGAUGUGUUAGUUGACGGUUUUUGUUCAAGUAGGUGUGGAACCCAUGGUUCUUCUUAUGGUGCACGCGUAAAUGGAAAGAGAAACAAGUUCGCGUACAUUUGGGUUGGAAAUUCGGAGACACAAUGUGCUGGUCAAUGCGCGUGGCCAUUUCACCAACCAAUUUAUGGUCCACAAAGUGCACCGUUGGUUGCACCAAAUAACGAUGUGGGUCUUGACGGAAUGGUUAUAAAUGUUGCUAGUCUUUUAGCUGGAACCGUAACAAAUCCUUUUGGUAAUGGUUAUUUUCAAGGACCUAAAGAAGCUCCUUUGGAAGCUGCUUCGGCUUGCACCGGUGUUUAUGCUAAAGGAGCUUAUCCUGGUUAUGCUGGGGACCUUUUGCUGGACAAAACAAGUGGUGCUAGCUAUAAUGCAAAUGGUGAUAAUGGAAGGAAGUAUUUGUUGCCUGCUAUUGUUGACCCUAAAACCUCGGCUUGUUCUACAUUGGUAUAAAGUAAGAGUGUUUAGUUGUUAGGCAAUGAGAGAUUCUUUGAUUUGUUAAUUCAAUUAGUUGUUAUAGCCUCGAUAAUUCUUUGAUUCUUUGUAAUUUUAAUAAAUAAAUAAUAUCAAUAUUAUUAUGUCCUCCAUAAAUAAUGUUAUUGAAUGAAGCAAAGAUAUCAUAAUUUUACCAUUAUAGUUUUAUUAUAUACUGAUGCAUUAUAAAUAGAAAGUGAAAAAGAAAAAGAGCAAUGCUAUAAAUAAAUAGUGAAAAAUCUUGAGUUGAGAGUUAUGAUGAGAUUUGCAUCAAGCCCUAUAGUUGGCAAGUUGACUAUGAAUGUGACUAAUACACCGUUCAAUUCCAAAUCAAGCCAAGCUACUUAAUAUUAAAUUUAAUUUUUUUCCAUUUUUUCCUUUUUAAAAUAAAGGGUUGGGAGUGUUGAAGCACAUAGUAUAAAUUAAAUGGUAAAAUUGAAAAAGAAAUAGUUAAUAUUAUACUGAAAAUUGAAGUAAUACUCGAUUUUAGAUACAAUGAGUAUUUUGAAUGAUUAAAUAAUUCAAUUUCUUGAUGAAAUCAUUGUAAGAUCGUGUAAACUAAUUUCAUAUUUCGUCAUCGUGAGUUUAACUCAGUUGUUAUGUACAAUGCAUAAUAUAUAGAAGGUUUGUGGUUCGAAUCCCGACCACAAUUAAAAAAAGAAAACUAAUUUCAUAUUUCCAUAAACAACCCUUAAAAUAUUGCUAAAAAAGUAAAUAUGUAUGGAUAAAUGGCGUUAAUUUCAUAAAUCCAACUUCAACUAAUGCAUAUGCAAUGGUAAAAUAAUAAUUUUUUGGUCUAUGUUCUCUCUCUUUUUUUUUUUUUUUUUUUAUAUAUAACAAAGGUUGCCUUUUCUUGCCAUAAAAUAUAAUAAAGAUUAUCUUUAAAAAAAAAUUUGUUAAGGGUUUAGUUUAAAAUUAUAAUCUUAUCAUUAUUGUCAAUAUUAAUUUUUUAUCAAGUACGUUAGAAGUUAGAAUUUCACCUUUAAAUUGAAUAAGUCGUGAAUCCAAAAUUCAAACCUGAACCCUACGUUUAUAAUAUAAUGUCCCUAUCAAUUGAGUUAUACUCACGAAGACUCUUCAUUGUCAAUAUAACUCACAAAACAUUUCAUCAUAGUUGAUCCAUAAUAGAAUCCUCGCAAUUACUGACCAUAUUCAAUAUACAAUUACUACUAAAAAAAAGUGGAGAAUUCACCAACACCCUUUCAUUUUGGAACCUGUAGAUCAACAGACUAAUGUCAUGUUAGAGUCGAACUUGACGAUGGAUACGUCACCUAGUACAACUCAACAGUCUUUGGUGGCGGUUCAAGAAACAAAUACGAAUGCUACUCUUGGGCAUUAUGAGGCGUCAAUUGAUCCGACUCAACAAAAGGAAAUUAAUCUUGUUCAACAUUUGUUGAUUCAAAGAAAAUUGUUGUGGUACCAUUUACGCCUUAUCUUACAAAAGGUCAAAAAAAGAAAAUUAGCAAGGCAACAUAUCACAACAAAGGAUUGACCCCCAACUUAAGGCGACAACGCUCUCGAACCUCGCUCUCAUAACCGCUCGAGGGAGAGUAACCGUUGGACGACGAAUCUACCAUAUUCUCAGCAGUUUCAAAGCAAAUACUCAUCUUUGUCAACCCAAAAAACGAAGGAAAUGUACAAAAUGCAAAGGAAGAAAGGAAGUACCUUUGAAGUUCAAAGGUUUUUCAGAAAAAAGAGGCAAAACUUUGUAGAACCGUAAACCCCAGAAAUGCAGCCUAGAGAGGAAGGAUUUUCGCGCAAGUUGGUCGGAGGAAAAACUGGGAAAAGAAAACAAUACACUUCUAGGUGAAGUUUAAGAGUGAAUGCAGAAUAUCUGAAACCAUGAAGAUAAAGAGCGUAAAAGUUGGAAACAAAAAGUUUCCCUUCUUUUAUAGGCUUCAAAAGUAUCCAGAUCGACGAUUCAGAAGAGAAGAAACCUUGAAACCAAAGGUUUCUGAUUCAACGAUUAAUGGCAAUAUGACCUCGAACCACGAAGGGCACUCAAGUGGCACGCGCGUGAAGCGCAAAGGCCGGUGCGUGUGCGGGCCACGAAGCAUGCACGUGGAAAGUAAAACUAAACAACCAUCACGUUAUGAACGUUUCAGUUUGAAGCAUUAAAUGCCAACUGCUCCCACUAACUCGCAUGGGGCGCCACCUCCUCGAGGAAGGAAAAACUUCUCGCAAAUGUAAAACUACAGAGGCGCCAACAUGUGAAGGCGCCUGAUCGUAUGCCUCUCUUCACAGCUAAAAGCCAUUGCGCCUUAAAUGCAUCAACAGUUUUGGGGACAAAUGUUCUGGACCAGUUAGAAGACCAAUCUUACGUUGACACGUGGCCUGGCCUACACAGCCUUAAGGCUCUGCGCCUAAAGGAACACGCCAGCUUAAAUGCAUUGUGCCACACAGGAGCGCCCGCGAUGAUAACCUUACAUGUGUCCUCUAAUCGUCCCUAAUCACACGCCGCAAAACUCGAAGACGGUUACUCUCAACGCGCGCCUAUAUAAGGGUGACCUUGCUUCACCCCCAAGGUAUGAUUCACUUUUCACAACACCUUCUAAACACUCUUUCUCAAUUCCAUUACUGACUUGAGCGUCGGAGUGCUAACGUGUCUGAAGACACCUUUUGUCCCACUGCAAGGACUCGUCACCACCGUACCAGAAACCAUCACCGUCACAUCGGAGCACUUUCCACCACUGUUACCUCUCAUCCAUCCUCACCGGACAAAUCAAAACUUCUUCUGCAAACCUUUGAACCUUAAAACUUAUCUUAAACCUGAUGAACCCCCAAUCUCAACUCACGUAAACUUAUGAAGCAAAAAAAAAAAACACAAAUAAAGAAUAUAUAAAGAGAUCACCCAAAACAAGCGAAGAUAAAAAUUGCACAUUCUUGAUACGAGCAAAAUAAGUGCAAUUUUCUUAAAUUAUACUUCACAUAUCCCUCAUUAUAAAAUCCGUUGCAAAAAAAUUGUUUAUCCUUAAUACAUGAUUAUCCAUAAAUUUUAAGUACAUUGCUUUUUUUUUUUUCUUUUUUCUUUCUAAAUAUCAAUUAUUAAUAAGAGUUUAAUGGUGGUGGAUCGACAUUUCAAAACAUUUUUGCACACACAACCAAAAAACAUUCAGAAUUCUCACAUAAAUUAAAAAUAUUAAUUGGCGUGACGAUUUUAAAUAUUUUAAUUGAUUGUGUGCAAAAUUAUUUUGAAUUGUCGAUACACUACCAUUAAUCUCUAUUAAUAUUACCAAUCUAUCUUAGAAUAUAUUUUAAUAUAGUAACAUUGAAAAUAUUUACACAAAAAGAUAUUUAAUAAUAAUUAGAGUCGACAUUUGGAACAAAUUUAUUAUUUCUUCAACUUUUUUUUAGCACGAUUUUUAUAAGAGAUGAAUAGAAUAAAAGUGAUUGAUCAUCAAUCACGCAAAAGAAGAGUUGUUACGCUCUUCGAUGGAGAAUGGACCCAAAAGCUAGGGGCAUGCCUUGUACAAAGAAUACACAGCUUUGUCGUUUUGUUUCAUAGCUGUGCUGUUGCCUGUUACUGUCCCAAAUCAAUGAAUUCAUGCAAACUGGAAUAACAAAAUAACAACGCGUGAUAUAGCUGGCACAUCCACCACUCACUCCACUCAUCCUCCUACAUAAUUUAACUUCAACUAUAUAUAUACCUACAACUACAUCUUACAUUUCCAUCACCUCACAACAUUUCCACAUUCCCUUCUACUUCAUACUUUGUUCUAUCUCAAAAUGGCAUCUUUUAAGUUAAGUGUUAUCUUCACCCUUUUUCUCACAAUUUCACUACUUCAAUUGAGUUCAGCUAGGAAACUCACUGAAUCAGACCAACAACUUAAAUUUCAAUUCCACAAAGGCCCUCUUCUAACCGGUAAAAUUUCUGUAAACCUUAUUUGGUAUGGAAAAUUCAAACCAUCUCAACGAGCGAUCAUAACUGAUUUCAUAACCUCGUUGUCUUCUCCCAUAAAACCAAAAACCACAACACAACCAUCGGUUGCCACGUGGUGGAAAUCAACUGAAAAAUAUUACCAACUCACUAACAACAAGAAAUCAGUUAACCUAGCUCUAUCACUAGGUACUCAAAUUUUGGACGAGAAAUACUCUUUAGGAAAAUCUCUCACAACUAACCAAAUCCUUAAACUCGCAUCAAAAGGACAACAACAAAACGCCAUCAACGUUGUCCUAACAGCCGCUGAUGUGUUAGUUGACGGUUUUUGUUCAAGUAGGUGUGGAACCCAUGGUUCUUCUUAUGGUGCACGCGUGAAUGGAAAGAGAAACAAGUUCGCAUACAUUUGGGUUGGAAAUUCAGAGACACAAUGUGCUGGUCAAUGCGCGUGGCCAUUUCAUCAACCAAUUUAUGGUCCACAAAGUGCUCCGUUGGUUGCACCAAAUAACGAUGUGGGUCUUGACGGAAUGGUUAUAAAUGUUGCUAGUCUUUUAGCUGGAACCGUAACCAAUCCUUUUGGUAACGGUUAUUUUCAAGGACCAAAAGAAGCUCCUUUGGAAGCUGCUUCGGCUUGCACCGGUGUUUAUGCUAAAGGAGCUUAUCCUGGUUAUGCUGGGGACCUUUUGGUGGACAAAACAAGUGGUGCUAGCUACAACGCUAAUGGUGAUAAUGGAAGGAAGUAUUUGUUGCCUGCUAUUGUUGAUCCUAAAACUUCAGCUUGUUUUACAUUGGUAUAAAGAAUAAUUGUUUUGUUGUUAGGCAAUGAGAGAUUCUUUGAUUUAUUCAUUCAAUUAGUUGUUAUAACCUCGAAAUUAAUCUUUUAUUCUUUGAUUCUUUUUAAUCUUAAUAAAUAAAUAAUAUCAAUAUUAUUAUAUUGUCCUCCAUACAUGCAACACAUGUACAGACGGACGACGGUGCACAUGGCAUACUCUAUCCAUCUCAACGAUAAACAUUCACACAAAUCAAAUUUUAUUGAAUGAAGCAAAGAUAUCAUAAUUUUACCAUUGUAGUCUUACUAUAUAUCCUGAUGCAUAAUAAAUAGAAAGUGAAAAGAAAAAAAAAUAGAACGUGAAAAAUUGAGUUGAGAGUUAUGAUGAGAUUUGCAUGAAGCUUAUAGUUGGCCAGUUGACUAUGAAUGUGACUAAUACACCGUUCAAUUCCAAAUCAAGCUACUUAAUAUUAUUAUAAUUUUUUUUCCUUUUUUUGGUAUUAAAUUUAAUUUUUCCAUUUUUUUUUCUUUUUAAAAGAAAGAGUUGGGGAGUGUUGAAGCACAUAGUAUAAAUUAAAUGGUAAAAUUGAAAAAGAGAUAGUUAAUAUUAUACUGAAAAUUGAAAUAAUACUCGAUUUUAGAUAAACUUCUUUGGCAAAUGUCCCACUCAUAAUGUGACACAAUGAUUAUUUUGAAUGAUUUUUUUUUUUUUAAGAAAUUAUUUCAAUGACUAAAUAAUUCAAUUUCUUGAUGAUAUCAUCGUAAGUAGACAUGACAACACAACCCGUCCCCAUUGGAUCCCACCCACCCCGUCCCGAUUUUAAUGGGGAAAAGCCGAAUUGGUUAUGGGUGCGGGUUUGGAGAAAACCCGGAGUUUUAAUACGGGGGCGGGGGAUACUCACACUCGCCCUCGCCCCGUUUUUUUAAAUUACUAUUUUUAUCCUUAUUUUUUAUAGUCAUAUUACUCAUAUACCCUUCUUAAUCUUAACAUAGAAGCUUUUGUUUUAAUUAUCUUGCCACUAAACAUAUUUUUUCACGAUGAUGUUAUGAUCUCUAAUGAAUUUAGAAGCUUUUGUUAUUAGCUCUUUUUGUUAUUGUGAAAAAAUAAAAUAAAAAAUUGUCUACAAUUUUCGCGGGUGGGGUUGGGGAAAUCCGUCCCCGUUGGGGCAGGUCCGGGUGUAAAAUUUCUAUCCAGACGGGUUUGGGGGUGGGGGCGGGGCUGGGUACAAUGAAACAGGGACGGGGCCGGGUAUGUUAAAACUUGCCCCCGCCCCGUUGCCAUGUUUAAUUGUAAGAUCAUGUAAAUUAAUUUUUUUCCGUGAAUUUAGUUCAGUUGAUAAGGACAAUGCAUAAUAUAGAUAAGAUUCGAUUUUUCAGACAAAAAAAAAAAAAAAACUAAUUUAUUUCCAAAAACAACCCUUAAAAUAUUACUAAAGAAGUAAAUUUGUAUGGAUAAAUGGCGUUAAUUUCAUAAUUCCAACUUCAACUAAUGCAUAUGCAAUGGUUUAUAUAAAAAAGGUUGCCUUUUCUUGUCGAAAAAUAUAAUAGAGAUUAUCUUUAAAAAAAAAAUAAUGUUAAGGGUUCAGUUUAAAAUUAUAAUCUUUAUCAUUAUUGUCAAUAUUAAUUUUUUUAUCAAGUAGGUUAGUGUUAGAAUUUCAUCUUUAAAAUGCAUAAGUCGUGAAUCCAAAAUUCACACCAUAUCAACUAAGUUAUGCUCACGAAGACUCUUUAUUAUCAAUAUUACUCACAAAACAUUUCAUCAUAGUUGAUCCAUAAUAGAAUCCUCGCAAUUACUACCAUAUUCAAUAUACAACUACUAUUAAAAAAAAGUGAAGAAUUCACCAACACCCCUUCAUUUUGGAACCUCUAGAUCAACAGGCUAAUGCCAUGUUAGAGUCGAACUUAACGAUGGAUACGUCACCUAGUACAACUCAACAGUCUUUGGUGACGGUUCAAGAAACAGAUACGAAUGCUACUCUUAGGCAUUCUGAGGCGUCAAUUCAUCCGACUCUACAAAAGGAAAUUGAUCUUGUUCAGCAUUUGUUGAUUCAAAGAAAAAUGUUGAGGUGCCAUUUACGCAUUAUCUUACAAAAGGUCAAAAAUAGAAAAUUAGCAAGGCAACAUAUCACACCCGAUCUAUGAAUUCCCCUAUAGAACCGAAGGGUGGUUGAGCAGCCUCUUUUUCUUUUGGGCCAUUUUUUUCUUUCUUCGUUUAGUUUUUUUUUGUUUUUUUCUCUUACUUUCUUUCGGUUUUGUUUUGAGGGUUUUGGUUUAGCCCCCUCUUGUAUAGUUUCUUUCUUUUUUAUUUAUAUUAUGAGUGGGUGGCAGUGUAAGGCUUUCUUGAGAUGCCAACGGUGUUGUGAUGUCCGAAUGAUCCACUCGAAAAUCAGUUGUUAGAAUUAACAGGUCUUCAAAUCGUUCAUUUAAAAAAAAGGAAACCCGAUUUUUCAAACUCUCAUUGUUGUUUUAACUCGCUCUAUUUUAUUGAAAAAAAAUAAAAUACAUUUACACUUUGCAAGACUAUAUCUAUGUGUUUGUGUCUUGUUAGACUUUGUAGAUCUCUUGUUAUUUGUUAAUAACUUGAUAAUUUUAAUUUAUCUGUAUAUUUAUGUUUUUUUUUUUCUUCCAUGUCUUGCUAAUAUAUAAGCAUUUGUGUUUGACCAUAAAGUUUAUUAAAGAUUUUAGUAUUUUUCAAUAACAUUUUUAACUUACUAAAAUGUAUUUUCUAUUUAUAUACACGUUUAUUUGUUUUGAUAACUAUUUUAUUGGUGCAAAAUAUCUACCAAUAAUAUUAAUGAUUAUUCUCCGCUUCAGAACCUAUUUUUCAAAUUCAAGGGAUCUCCUCUCGGAACAACAUAUUUUUCAUCCACCGUGCGUGGAUCUGAGACCUUAAGAGAUCCGAGUAAAAUUCCACAAAGACCAACAUAAUGUUAGUGUGUAUAUAUUUAUUGAGUGUAGCUACCGAUAGUUGAUGCUUAUUCUGCGAAACUAGAAUUUUCAAUGACAUCUAUUUGUUUUAAUUAAUAUUACAUAUAUAGAGACUCAAUAAUAAUUUUAUGUGUUCUAAAUUUCUACAUGAUCCUAUCUUUGUUGUUUUGUCUAGUUUUCCACUCGUGCCGAAUUUAAUUGAGCAGUGUUGACAACACUUUUGUUUUAACAUUCUCUUCAACAUUUACUUUUUUAUUUGCUUAAAUCAAAUAGGUGUCACACUUUAAAAUUGAAUUACACUUGUUAUGGUCAUAUAUUAACGUCAUCCAAUAAAAAAAUAAGUGUUGAUGAGAAUGUUGAAAAUAAAGUGUCAUCAAAAUUUCUUAUUUUAAUUUGAACAUGUUGUGUUUAAAUCUCAUUUUUCACAACAAAUGUGAUGUUUUACCGAUACCCUAAUGUGUGUACGAGGGUAUGAAGGUAAGACUAAGAACUAAGAAACUAUACGGUAUAUAUACUUUAUCUCAUUUUUUGUUACAUUGCAUCAAAAACCCACAUGAUAUGUCAUGUUAGCCAUGUCAUCUAACUUAGAUUGAAAGAUGAAAUUAAAGACUAAACCAAUGGGGGCUAUUCAGAGAAAUUUAUUGGAUCAUCUUAUGUCGUUUUGUGGGUUAGGGGGUAUGUCAAAAAUGUUCGGGUGGCUCUUAACAUCAUUUGGGUUUUGGAUGUGUGGGGUUAUUUAGCACCAGAGAAAUAGACUCAAAUUCAAUCAUAAGGAGGAAUAUUUGCAAUCUUAUGCGAAAAAGUUAAGCUUUAAUCAUUUUCGUGGUUGAAAUUAAGAUAUAUUACUUUCGAUUUCGAUUAUCAUUUUUUGAGGCUUAAUCAUAUUCAUUGCCUAACUGUUCUAACUUAGCUUAUUGUAUCUUCUUUUGUUUUGUUUAUCUUGUAAAGUUAAGUCGUUUCUGAUACAUCUUGUGCUGAAAGAUUUGUUUUGGUUGGUAAUUUAUAUAUUUCAUUUUGGUCUCUUAGAAAAAACUAACAAUGGGGAUAUAGGGAUUAAAAAAAUUGUUAAAAAAACAUAGGGAUAAGAUCUAAAAUAGAGAAUUGAAUGACUAAAAUUGGCUAUUUACAUAAGUAUACGUAUGGAAGUUUUGCAAAUGUCCUUUUAACCUUAAAACUUAUCUUAACAUUGAUGAGUCUGAAUCUCAACUCUCGUAAACUUUUAUGUAAAAAAAAAAAAAAAAAAACACAAAUGGAGAAAAUAUAAAGACAUUACCUAAAACAAGUGAAGAUUAAAAUUGCACAUUCUCAAUACAAUCAAAUUAAGUGCAAUUUUCUUAAAUUAUACUUCAUAUAUCGCUAAUUAUAAGAUCUGUUUUAUUUUUAAAGGUCUAAUUAUAAGAUUUGUUACAAAAAUUUGUUUGUCCCUUAAUACAAAAGUAUCUAUAAAUUUUGGGGUAAUAGUCCCUUUGGUCCAUUAAUUUGUAAUGAGCAGUUACAAUGAUCCUUAAAUGUAUAAAAGUAUCAAAAUAGUCUAUGAUUGUGCAAUUUGUUAGUCAAAAUAGUCUUUGAUGUUAAAAUACUUCAUUAAUAUUGUCAUAUUACCCCGUCAAUAUACUUACUUAUUGUCAUAUCAGUCUUUAUAAAUACUUAAUUAUUGUCAUUUUAAUCCUUAUAUGAAAAGAGUUAUUGUGAACGUACAUUGAGAGAUUACUUUAGCGCCAGAGACCAUUUUGAGUAACAGAGUGCACAAUCAGAGACUAUUUUAAAAUUUUGAUAUAUCGAGAGACUAUUGUGACUACUCAUUACACAUUCAAGAACCAAAUGAUUAUCCCAUAAAUUUUUAAAUACAUUGAUUAUUUUUUUUCUAAAUAUCUAUUAUUAAUACAACCACUCUAUCUUAGAAUAUAAAAAAUAUUUACAUUGAAAGUAUUUAUACAACAAGAUAUUUUAUAAUAGUUAGAGACAUUUGGAACAAAUUUAUUCUUUCUUAUAACUUUUCUUAGCAUGAUUUUUAUAAGAGAUGGAUAGAAUAAAAGUGAUUGAUCAUCAAUCACGCAAAAGAAAAGUUGUUACGCUCUUCCAUGGACAAUGGACCCAAAAGCUAGUGGCAUACCUUGUACAAAGGAUACACAGCUUUGUCGUUUGGUUUCAUACAUGUGCUGUUAAUUGUCCCAAAUCUAUGAAUUCAUGCAAACUGGAAUAAUAAAAUAUCAACGCGUAAUAUAGCUGGCACAUCCUCCACUCACCCUCCAACAUAAUUUGACUUCAACUAUAUACCUUUCUAUUUUACACGUUAAUUAAUUCCUUUUAAAUACACUUUCCACUAUAUAUAUACCUACAACCCCAUCUUACAUUUCCAUCAGCACAUAACAUUUCCACAUUCCUUCUACUUCAUACUUUGUUCUAUCUCAAUACAUAUCCCAAAUGGCAUCUUUUAAGUUAAGUGCAAUCUUUACUCUUUUUCUCACAAUUUCACUACUUCAUUUAAUCUCAGCUGCUAGAAAAUUCACUGAAUCAGACCAACAACUUAAAUUUCAAUACCACAAAGGCCCUCUUCUCACCGGAAAAAUCUCAAUCAACCUCAUUUGGUAUGGAAAAUUCAAACCAUCUCAACGAGCCAUCAUAACUGAUUUCAUAACCUCCCUCUCUUCUCCUAAACAAGGAACAACCACAUCACAACCAUCCGUUGCCACGUGGUGGAAAUCAACCGAAAAAUAUUACCAACUCGCGAACAAUAAGAAAUCAGUUAACCUAGCUCUCUCACUAGGUUCUCAAAUUCUCAAUGAGAAUUACUCAUUAGGAAAAUCUCUCACAACUAACCAAAUCCUUAAACUCGCAUCAAAAGGACAACAACAAAACGCCAUCAACGUUGUCCUAACAGCCGCUGAUGUGUUAGUUGACGGUUUUUGUUCAAGUAGGUGUGGAACACAUGGUUCUUCUUAUGGUGCACUCGUAAAUGG